RNAcentral lists this long non-coding RNA (82539 nucleotides) under Zea mays. RNAcentral's name for it is "long non-coding RNA (ZMAY_LNC001743)". Lineage: Eukaryota; Viridiplantae; Streptophyta; Magnoliopsida; Poales; Poaceae. The record is from RNAcentral.
GCCUAGCCACUCCGGCAGAUGGGUCAACGCGUUACAAAGACACAAGUUGAGAGUUCGAAGCGAGGUGAGGUGCUGCAUGCUCUCGGGAAGGCAAGUCAGGGAAGUCAAAGAAGAUAUGGUGAGGUGCUGGAGUGAGCAGAGUUCUCCUAUUUGUUCAGGAAGCUGCUGGAGAGCAUCACAUAACCGUACUUCCAGACUCUGUAGAGAUUUCAGUUCCACAAGCCAGUCAGGCAGCACACGAAGAUUAUCACACUGUGUUAUCACCAGUCUACAGAGAUUGGUGGGGCAGUGGAUGCUCUCAGGUAAAUGCGUAAGGCCUGUGCACUUGAAUAUUUCUAGGGUAUGAAGCCCAGUGAGAUGCUGCAGCACCUCCCAACCAGAUGAUGAUCCUGUCAACCGACGAAGUUCAAGUCUCUCGAGGUGAGUACCCGUCUCAUCCGCAAAAUAGGAGGAAGAUGAAGACUCGUCACCAUGAGCAUGAGAUGCAUGAUGAUGACGUGGAUGGAAGAAGCAUCCUGAAGAAACCAACUGCAUAUUGUUUCCUUCUAGUGUCAAUCUCUGCAAGGACGGAGGAAAGUACGGCUUCACAACAAGUUUCGGGCAAUCAAUUAUUACUAGAGUGGAAACGUGAUGGAAACAACAUUGCGCUUCCACUCCUUCCUCCCCAGUUGUGGUCGUAAGCAGCUCUCCCAACUUUGGCAGUCUUUUGAGCUUAAGGAUCUUUAUCAGUGGCAGUUCCACAAGCUCCCCAAGAUGCUCCAAGUUUGGUAAGUUGUCCAAUACUAGUUUAGUCAGAUGGGAGAAUUCAGAUGGAUUUCUUUGCAUUACUAUAUGUGUAUCAUCGGCUGGACCACAAGAGUCACUUUGCUUUGCCAUCCAACAUGGCAAUUGUGAACCCCGGUAGCCACGAAUUCUCAGCUUCUCGAUUUUUGAUGGUGGUUCAAGAUUGUCGAGCAAAUGCAAUUCCUUCUCCAUAUUUAAUGAUAACUCUUCUUCCAUGUCAUUUGGCUGAUCCUCCCAUCUUGAAUACCAAUCCAACGACAAUUUCCGUAUGCCAUUCUUUUUCUUCAAACAAACUUUGUCUGUGUCCCUUCCUUGCUCGUACCCUGCAAAUUAAAUUUGCCAAGAGCUGCAACCUUAAUUUUUUUUUUUGCUUAAAUGAGCUACACUAUUCUUUCUACUAUAACUUAUAACUACUUUAAUUUGUUGCUACACACAGCACAUACCCAUCUGAAUGUCUGAUUAUUUAUUUUCUUUGUUUGCUAACUCUCUAUCAUGUAUGAUUCGCACAGACAAUGAUCGAAAUGAUGUGCAUGAAUUGGCAGGUGAUAAUAGACUAAUAGUGAUAGACAUCUGACCUGGGACAACACCCUUUAGACUUUAGACUCUUGAGGUGUUCCUUCGCAAGGAAACUCUUAUGUUAUUCUUGUUUCUAACAUCACCAGAAAAUUAGCAUGAGUGAGAGGAGACACAGGUUAUUAUAUUGCACAUACAUGAAAGUGAGCUAUAUAAGAUAGGAUGAUGUUAUAUAAUAUACCCAAGCGCUGGUAUCAGAGAAGAAUAGAUUAACUGCUUCGUUCUUCUACAGACUAGUUUCCAGCCUCCUGUAAAUAGAGUUCCCCUAAGAAGAGGCAGGGAAAGUAAAUUUAUCCAGCAAAGAAAAUACCAGAUGCCAAGGAAGAAAUUGAUAAGCAUGACAAAAGCAAAAAGAAAACGCAUCUGUUCUAGCUUUCAUGAUAGUAGAUACCUUGGGAUCUGACCAAAUGAUGUGUUCUGUGCAACCUCCAAAUGUUUUUGUCGAGCAUACGGAGGCUUGGGUUGCAGAAACAUUGAAGGAGUGUAGCUCAGACUGCAGGUCUACAGAGAGCUUUCUGUAUUUUUUGAAGGCUUUGUGCAUAUUAUCCUCAGCAACAUAUAUUAUACUCAGCGACAAGAAUUCGAGAAAGGGGCGAUGACUUAGAAGAGUCAGGUCAAUUAAAAAGACAAAACAAGAGGGUGAGAUGUCAAUAAGGCCUUGUUCGUUUGUAUCGGAUUGGUGGGUCGGAACGAUUCCGAGUCGGAUUGCUCCUUUAAUUUAUAUAAACUUUGAUUAACCGGAACGAUUCUAGGUGCAAUCCGAUGUAAACGAACAAGGCAUAAGAAAUUCCUGUUUGUUAAGCCAGAAGAAAGCGCCAAGAAAUUUCCAGCGACACGUCCAUCCCUAUACUGCUUCUGCUUGAGGACGUUUCCACGAACGGGAUGCUGUUCAUUUUAAGGGAUUUUCCCUUUAUUCAAAAAAAAAAGGGCUAGCCGAACUGGGCCGCUGCCAGGCCCACGGCCGAGCAGCCCAGCCCAGCCGGCCAGCAAAAGACGCGUAGGGCACGCACCAGAGAGAGCGAGCGAGCAGGGGAAACGUGGGGGCUGGCGGCCGCGUGCAGCUCUCGCCGAUCUCUACGCCGUCUCAAGCGCAACCGCUGCUCCGUUUUGGCUCUUGAAAUAUGGAGUCUUUCUCCCUGCGCUUGAGCUCGAAAAGAAAUCCCAACUCUCUGUUCCUAUUCUUCCUCUCGGUUCCAGUCACGGUUUGGAUCGAUUCCUUCGAUUCUUGGUGUUCUGGAGUUAAUCCUGCUGGUAGAAGAAGGUGGAGGUGGCCCUGCUUGUGCGCAGCGAGGUUCUCCUGCGCUCCGUUGUCUCACCAGUGCACCUGUGAGGUGCUCUUUAUGUUCUGAUUGCUGUUCACCGUGGCCUGGUGUUUGGGCUCCCUGCUGCGCGGUGUUCAUCUUCUCGGGCUGGUGCCGUGGACGUCUCCCUCGGUUCCGGCAGCGGCUCUAGUAUCUCCGUCAACCUCCCGCCGUGCAGGCCCGGACGUGGGCGGCGGAAUUGGUUUUCUGGGACAGAACCUUGUGUUCGCUGAGCUGGUCUUCCCACGUAGACAAUCUACGUGCUGUGAGUUAUUCGUUGCCUCAUUUUAUUUACUGUUUAAUUUUGUGCAAUCUGCUAGUAUUAAAUACUUGGGUGUGAUUGCACUGUUGUGGGCAGAUUUGUGUGCUCGAUGAUGAUAGCGGUGUAGUGAGACAGCGUGACAGUCUGGGUUUUAGUGUAUUAUUAUUUUCAUCAUUGAUAUUAUUUGUGUCUAAUUAAAUCUCUCUUUGUUGAGGCUGUUUACCUGUGUUAAAUUCUGUUAAUUUAUUUAGUACACAGCUCCUUUCUAUCAGUAUUUAUAUUUGAUUAUUAGGCUUAUUACAUCUGAUCUAAAACCCUUAUUUGGUAAGAUACGACUGUCACGUUAGUCUAGGAUCUCUGAUCACCUUUUAGCGUUGGAGGGCUGUUUAUUACAGCAACCCGCUAUUUUGAGAGCAAUAGUUUAAGAUAAACAAUUAUGUUUAUUUGUUUAAUCUGCCUUCUUCAUCUGCAAGCCAUGUUUAAUUAUGAAAUGGACCUGUGUAGCUAUUUUACAUGUUUACAUGUCUUAGAAUUGCUACUGUUCAUUGCUGCUAUAAUUUCAUAUGGUAUUUAUCUGAGUUAUAUGAUUGUUUUAUUCGGAAUUAGAAUAUUUAAUUUAUUUAAAUAUGAAGGAAGCAUGUCACUUAUUUCUCUAAAUUUACAACAAUCCAGAAAACCAAUCUGUGUAAUGGCCUCCAGUUCUGAUGUCAUUAAGCCUGAAGCGUUCGACGGCGCAAGCUUUAAACGCUGGCAGAUUAAGACUCGCAUGUGGCUCACUGACCUAAAAUUAUUUUGGGUAGUGACGUCGGCUGUUCCCCAGGCUGCAUCAGAUGAUUCUGAUGAUGCAGCGAAAGCCGCCGCACUAGCGGAGAAAGCCAAGUGGGACGAAGCCAAUGAGGCAUGCUUGUCUCGUCUGCUGAACGUCUUGUCGAACCGCUUAUUUGACGUGUACUCUGGUUUUACCUCCGCUAAGGGUCUAUGGACUGAACUUGAGAACGAGUUCUCUGAAGUUGACAAUGGCAAUGAGUCAUUCACAACGGAAAACUACCUUAACUAUAAAAUGGUUGAGGGAAGGUCUGUUAUGGAGCAGCUACAGGAGAUUCAACUCCUUGUUAGGGACUUGAUCCAAUAUGGCUGCGUCGUACCAGACAGUUUUCAGGUGAAUGCAAUACUGGCAAAGCUCCCGCCUUCUUGGCGAGACUUUGUGACUUCACGCCGCCACAUGAAGAAGCAAAUGACUCUCACUGAGUUGUCAGCUGCGAUUAAUGUGGAAGAGCGUGCAAGGUCCAGUAACAAGCCAUCCCAGCAACUCCAGGCUCACGUUGUUGAGAAGGGUGGAGAUAGAAAAUUCCAGAAGAAGAAGAAGAACUCUCCACAGAAGAAUCUGAACCAACCUAAAUCCAAAAAGAUGAAGAAGAAAAAGGAGGACUUUAUCUGCUACGUUUGUGGUGUCUCCGGGCAUACAGCUCGGAGGUGCAAACUUAGGAAGGGAAAAGGUCCUCCACCUCAGCGCAAAGAAGGGAACGUGGUGGUUAACUCCACCCCAGGGUAUGCACUUCAGGCCUUUAUGGCAAGUCCAUCAGAUGACUGGUGGAUGGAUUCCGGUGCUACUGUUCAUAUUUGUGCUGAUCGAUCCAUGUUCUCUUCAUUCCAGGGAUACAACAGCGCACCAGUCUUGAUGGGAAAUGGUGUUCCGGCAGCAGUUCGAGGUACUGGACAGGUCUACCUGAAGUUAACUUCAGGAAAGACACUCGUGCUGAAGGACGUACUCUAUGUGCCCUCGAUGAGCCGGAACCUCAUUUCAGUGUCGCUGCUAUGUCGACAGGGUCUCAAAUUAGUGUUUGAGUCUAAUAAAGUGGUCCUGUCUAAGUUUGGUACUUUUGUUGGAAAGUCAUAUGAGUCAGGCGGUUUGUUCCGUCUUUCUGUUUUGAACAAUCAUUCUUCUUACCAUGUUAAUGUGGUCUGUAAUAACGACUCCAUUAAUAAUAUAUGGCAUUCCCGUUUGUGUCAUGUGAAUUUUGAGUCCAUUAAGAGAUUAAGUGACAUGUCUUUAAUUCCUGAAUAUAAACAUGUUAAAGGUGUAAAAUGUGGUAUUUGUGUGCAAGCCAAGCAGCCUAGAAAACCGUUUCAUACGGUUGAAGGCAGAAGUACCACUCCUUUAGAACUAAUUCACUCAGAUAUCUGUGAGAUGAAUGGUAUAAUCACAAAAGGCGGUAAAAGAUACUUUCUUACCUUGAUAGAUGAUGCUACCAGGUUCUGUUAUAUUUACUUACUCAGAACUAAAGAUGAGGCACUAGAACACUUUAAGAUCUAUAAGACUGAAGUUGAAAACCAGUUAGACAAGAAAAUUAAAAGGCUACGGUCUGAUAGAGGAGGUGAAUACCUUUCCAACCUUUUUGAUGAGUACUGCAAAGAGUGUGGAAUCAUUCAUGAAACCACUGCUCCAUAUUCACCUCAGUCAAAUGGGGUAGCUGAAAGGAAGAACCGAACGGUGUGUGACUUAGCUAAUGCUUUGUUGCAAAGUUCGGGGAUGCCUGACAUCUGGUGGGGCGAGGCAGUACUCACAGUGUGCUAUGUCUUGAACAGGGUGCCGCCUCGCAACCGUGAGGCCACGCCCUAUGAAGGAUUUAAAGGAAGGAAGCCAGAUCUUUCACAUCUUCGGACUUGGGGCUGCCUUGCAAAGGUGAAUGUCCCGUUGCCGAAGAAGAGAAAGUUAGGCCCUAAGACCGUAGACUGUGUCUUCCUGGGUUAUGCACAUAACAGUGCAGCUUAUAGAUUUCUAGUGGUCCAUUCCGAGACAAGCGAAAUCGCUGUAAAUGUAAUAAUGGAGUCUCGGGAUGUGACAUUCUUUGAGAGCAUCUUCCCUAUGCGGGAUAAGGAAGUAGUAGCCCCAGAUGGUCCAUCUCGGACAUAUUCUCUGCCCUCGAGUGUCCAUGACCAGACUCCAGAUUUGGAGUUAAGGAGGAGUAAGAGACAAAGGACUGAAAAGUCUCUGGGUGAUGAUUAUAUUAUUUAUCUAGUGGAUGAAGAACCAUGCUCCCUCACAGAGGCAUAUACAUCUCCAGAUGCAGAGUACUGGAGGGAGGCUGUCCGUAGCGAGAUGGAUUCAAUCAUCUCGAACGGAACUUGGGAGAUAACUGAUCUCCCAGCUGGUUGCAAGCCUGUGGGCUGUAAAUGGAUCUUUAGGAGGAAGAGGAGACCCGAUGGUACUAUUGAAAAGUACAAGGCCCGUCUUGUGGCUAAGGGUUUUACUCAAAAGAAAGAGGAGGAUUAUUUUGAUACUUAUUCUCCGGUGGCUCGAUUGCCCACAAUCUGUGUGCUUUUAGCACUGGCAGCUGCUUAUAAACUUCUUGUCCAUCAAAUGGACGUAAAGACAGCAUUCCUAAAUGGAGAGCUGGAAGAGGAAAUUUAUAUGCAGCAACCAGAAGGAUUUGUGGUUAAAGGUCAAGAGAGCAAAGUGUGUCGCUUGAUUAAAUCCUUAUACGGUCUUAAGCAAGCUCCCAGACAAUGGCAUGAGAAGUUUAAUAAUACUCUGACCACUGCCGGGUUUUGUGUAAACGAAGCCGACAAGUGUGUGUAUUAUCGCUUCUCUGGGGGCAAAGGUGUCAUCAUGUGUUUAUACGUUGAUGACAUAUUGAUAUUUGGGACCGAUUUGGAGGCUAUCAUGGAGACAAAAAUAUUCCUCUCCAAGAACUUUGAUAUGAAGGACUUGGGUGAAGCUGAUGUUAUACUGAACAUCAAGCUGAUAAAGGGUGAGGAUGGGAUUACUUUGUCACAAUCCCAUUAUGUGGAAAAGGUCCUGACUCGCUUUGGACAUAUGGACUGUAAACCAGUCACCACGCCCUAUGAUCCAUCCUACACGCUCAGUAAAUAUGAAGGCGAGCCUGUGAACCAGCUACUAUAUUCGCAGAUCAUCGGAUCUCUCAUGUACCUGAGUAGUGCAACUAGACCAGAUAUCUCAUAUGCAGUAUGCAGACUGGCUCGUUAUUCGGCUAGUCCAGGAGAUAGACACUGGGUAGCGUUGUACAGAGUGCUUCGGUAUUUGAAGGGAGCGAUGAAUCUUGGUAUUAAAUAUACCGGAUUUCCGUCAGUACUUGAAGGAUUCAGUGAUGCAAACUGGAUCUCUGACUCGGAUCAAAUGAAGUCUACAAGUGGCUAUGUGUUCACUUUAGCUGGUGGGGCCGUGUCAUGGAGAUCGUCUAAACAAUCAGUGUCGACACGUUCCACCAAGGAGGCUGAAUUAGUUGCACUUGAUUCAGCAUCAUUGGAGGCUGAAUGGUUGAGAGACCUAUUGUCAGACCUUCCAAUGCUAGCAAAGCCGAUACCGGCUGUCCUAGUAUACUGUGACAACACUUCUGUGUUGCUGAAAGUGAACAGUAGAAAGGACAACAAAAAAUCCUCGAGGCAUAUCAGAAGACGACUUGAUUCAUGUCGGCAUGCUAGAGAGACGGGUGUAAUAACCGUAGAUUACAUCAAGUCUGAAAGGAACCUUGCUGAUCCUUUCACCAAAGGGCUGGCUCAAAAGCCAAUCCAAGCAGCGUGUAUGGGAAUGGAACUCGUACCCUGUUAGCGGUUUCAACUGCGGAUAACUGUCCUGUGUGACCGGAGAUCUCGAGAUCCAGGCUCCAGGAAACGAAGCACUGUGGAACCAAGAGCACAAAAGAUAAAGAGUCUCAUGAGCUGCUGUGCUCUGACUGUAUGGCAGGUUGAGCGAUAUGCUCUUAAUGAAGUCAAUGCUAUAAGCAGGGAAAUUGUCCUACAGAAUUUCCUUAACGAUUUCACCUAUAUGAGCUGACUGUGGGGUCGCAGUCCAGGAGAGAAUGGGGUUUUCUCUCUAGUGAGCUCAUGAAUAGAUAUUAAAGGGCAUGACCGUAACGCCCUGCCCCGUAAGAGAAGCAGAUAAUCUGCCUAGUACUAUGUGCCUUUUGUGCGAAGAUUCUCACACUAGGGUUUGUGGAUCAAGGCGUAGUCCUCCGCUUACUCGUGCAGGGUUGGAGUACACUGGGAUAGGCUUUGGUUCAAACCUAACAAGUACCUCUGCCGAAAAGUAGUAUAUAAACAGUACGGGAGCUCAAUGACAUUGAUCAGAAAAAUAAGAGUGAAAAUGGUGGGGAUUGCUGUUCAUUUUAAGGGAUUUUCCCUUUAUUCAAAAAAAAGGGCUAGUCGAACUGGGCCGCUGCCAGGCCCACGGUCGAGCAGCCCAGCCCAGCCGGCCAGCAAAAGACGCGUAGGGCACGCACCAGAGAGAGCGAGCAAGCAGGGGAAACGUGGGGGCUGGCGGCCGCGUGCAGCUCUCGCCGAUCUCUACGCCGUCUCAAGCGCAACCGCUGCUCCGUUUUGGCUCUUGAAAUAUGGAGUCUUUCUCCCUGCGCUUGAGCUCGAAAAGAAAUCCCAACUCUCUGUUCCUAUUCUUCCUCUCGGUUCCAGUCACGGUUUGGAUCGAUUCCUUCGAUUCUUGGUGUUCUGGAGUUAAUCCUGCUGGUAGAAGAAGGUGGAGGUGGCCCUGCUUGUGCGCAGCGAGGUUCUCCUGCGCUCCGUUGUCUCACCAGUGCACCUGUGAGGUGCUCUGUAUGUUCUGAUUGCUGUUCACCGUGGCCUGGUGUUUGGGCUCCCUGCUGCGCGGUGUUCAUCUUCUCGGGCUGGUGCCGUGGACGUCUCCCUCGGUUCCGGCAGCGGCUCUAGUAUCUCCGUCAACCUCCCGCCGUGCAGGCCCGGACGUGGGCGGCGGAAUUGGUUUUCUGGGACAGAACCUUGUGUUCGCUGAGCUGGUCUUCCCACGUAGACAAUCUACAUGUUGUGAGUUAUUCGUUGCCUCAUUUUAUUUACUGUUUAAUUUUGUGCAAUCUGCUAGUAUUAAAUACUUGGGUGUGAUUGCACUGUUGUGGGCAGAUUUGUGUGCUCGAUGAUGAUAGCGGUGUAGUGAGACAGCGUGACAGUCUGGGUUUUAGUGUAUUAUCAUUUUCAUCAUUGAUAUUAUUUGUGCCUAAUUAAAUCUCUCUUUGUUGAGGCUGUUUACCUGUGUUAAAUUCUGUUAAUUUAUUUAGUACACAGCUCCUUUCUAUCAGUAUUUAUAUUUGAUUAUUAGGCUUAUUACAUCUGAUCUAAAACCCUUAUUUGGUAAGAUACGACUGUCACGUUAGUCUAGGAUCUCUGAUCACCUUUUAGCGUUGGAGGGCUGUUUAUUACAGCAACCCGCUAUUUUGAGAGCAAUAGUUUAAGAUAAACAAUUAUGUUUAUUUGUUUAAUCUGCCUUCUUCAUCUGCAAGCCAUGUUUAAUUAUGAAAUGGACCUGUGUAGCUAUUUUACAUGUUUACAUGUCUUAGAAUUGCUACUGUUCAUUGCUGCUAUAAUUUCAUAUGGUAUUUAUCUGAGUUAUAUGAUUGUUUUAUUUGGAAUUAGAAUAUUUAAUUUAUUUAAAUAUAAAGGAAGCAUGUCACUUAUUUCUCUAAAUUUACAACACGGGAUGUGGGCACGAGCGCGUUCGUCACAUGCCACGGCAUCAGACUCGCACACACGGCUCCGGCAGUGACAAGAAAUUAAACAGAAAGCGCUCACCUUUGCUUGACAGGAGCAGUCACUGACUCACUGUCCACCAUCGCUCACCUUUGCUUGACAAGAAAUUAAACAAGAAAUAUCUGAACACUGCUAUGUAUCCAGUUUAGGGCCAAGGGAGCAAAUUGGAGUACGCAUAGUUGUUAUACGGUAUAUGUAUAUUAGCUCUCUCUCUCUCUCUCUCUCUAUAUAUAUAUAUAUAUUGAUAAUGGAAACAAGAGUUCCGGCUUUUCGCAUCAGAUGCGUACAACCAUUACAUGUCAAAUGAACAGUUCUUUAAAAAAUAAAACUAACUCGACGAAACCAAAUAACAUGGCUAUGGAAAGCACUAGGCACACUCAAGUCUUGCAUUUGAUCGCCAUCCAUGAAACGCAAAGAUUUUCAUCGCCACCAUUUCUAGAGCUUGACACAUAUCGAUAAUUUGUUGAUGUACAUCCUCCCUUUGUAGGAGUCUCCAGAACCUGAACCAGUGGGUACCUCUGAAGAUGACCUGCACAAUUGAUGGUAUUGGUUUUUGAUUAAAUGCCACCUCAUUUCGAGUAAGCCAAAUAGACCAAAAUAAAGCUGAUAUUCCAGUAAAUAGUAACUUUUUGUAUACUAGACCACAAUUACUUGCCCAAGACCUAAUAAUAUGAUUAAUGUUGACUGGCAUUUCUAUUUUUAGAGCAAGAUAAAUGAUCCUCCAAAUAUUUUUGGCAAUAUAGCAAUCGAAAAAGAGGUGGUGUAUACUCUCAUUACGGUUGCAAAAGCAACAAGUCAAGCUACCUUUCCAAUGUCUUUUAGCUAAAUUAUCUUUGGUAAGGAUCGCUCCUCGACCUAAAUUCCACAAAAACACUUUUAUUUUCAGGGGGAUUUUAAGUUUCCAAAUCAUCUUGUUCCGAUUGUUGUUGGGAUUAUACAUCAACAAAUGGUACAUAGAUUGGACGGAAAAAAUUCCAUUCUUAUGACCAUCCCAAACAAAUUUGUCUCUAGCUGGGCUGAAUCUAACCGUCGUUAGCAAGUGUAACAAUUUUUUCCACUCCACUAAUUUACUUCCCGUAAUUGUUCGGCGAAAAGAUAAAUUAAGAUUCGUGUCUAGACAAACUUCUGCAACCAAGGCCGAUUUAAUGCGCACUGUAUUAAAAAGGUUCGGGAAUUGCUCACAAAAGGGACGACUGGUUAGCCAUUUAUCCUGCCAAAAUCUGGUGUUUUGACCAUCCCCCACUUGAAAGUGACCCAAUCUAAGAAACUGAUCCUUGAUGUUCAUUAGACCUGACUAGAAGUGUGAAUCACCUGAUCUUCUAGAUAUUUGAGUAAGGGAUUUAUCUCCUAGGUAUUUAUUUUUGAGUAACUGUUGCCACAUCUCAUCCUCAUUAAGUAAUUUGUAGAGCCAUUUGCUGAGUAAGCAUAUAUUUUUUAUAGCUAGAUUAGAGAUGCCUAAACCUCCCAAUGCUUUUGGUUGACAGACAAUAUGCCACCUAGCCAACCUAUAUUUCCUUUUACUGCUUCCUCCCUGCCAAAAGAAUCUGGAUCGGAUAGCAUCCAGCUUCUUCAAGAUGCCCACCGGUAUCUCAAAGAACGACAUCAUGAACGUAGGUAGACUACUUAACACAGAAUUAAGCAAUAUCAACUGUCCACCUGAAGAUAAAAAUUUGGCCUUCCAUGUACUAAGCCUCUUUUCAAACCGAUCAAUAACACCCUGCCAGUCACUAUUUCUCAGCCUUCAAUGAAUCAAAGGAAUUCCAAGAUACAUGAAAGGCAAUGUCCCAAUUCCACAACCAAAUAAAUGUGAAUAUUGCAAUUCAUAUUCCUUAGCUACCCCAUAGCAAAAUAGCUCACUUUUGUGGAAAUUUAUUUUAAGCCCAGACAUUUGUUCAAAAACAGUCAAAAGUAAUUUAAUAUUCCGAGCAUGCUCAAGAUUAUGGUCUAAGAAAACCACUGUAUCAUCGGCAUACUGAAGGAUAGAUAAACCCUCUGGAAUCAAGUGCGGAACAAUUCCAUGGAACUGAUUUUCCUCUUUCGCUCUUGCGAAAAGAAUAGCUAACAUAUCCGCAACAAUGUUGAAUAAUAUUGGCGACAAAGGGUCUCCUCGACGAAGGCCCUUGUGAGUAUAAAAGAAAGGACCUACUCCAUCAUUCACUUUAACACCAACAUGACCUCCAGAGAAUAUUUUUUGGAUCCAAGCGCACCAAGAUGAUGAGAACCCCUUCAUACGCAUUGCUUGCUGGAGAAAAUUCCAUUUCACUUUAUCAUAAGCUUUCUCGAAGUCUAGUUUAAUGAUAACACCAUCUAACUUUUUCCUCUGUAAUUCAUGAAUGGAUUCGUGAAGGAUAAUAACCCCUUCAAGAAUAUUGCGACCAGGCAUAAAAGCUGUCUGGGAGGGGCUGACAAUUCUGUGUGCUACACGGCCUAUUCUAUUUGUGAGAACUUUAGUAAUGAUUUUGAACGAAACAUUAAGUAAGCAAAUAGGUCUAUAGUCCUGGAUUUUAUUUGCAUUAUAUUUCUUUGGGAUUAAGGUAAUUGCUCCAAUAUAUAUAUAUAUAUAUAUAUAUAUAUAUAUAUAUAGUUUAGAUAUUAUGAUCCUUAGGCUUCCAAAGAGUGACCAUAAGCCCUGACUCAACGACACCUUUCAGUUCAGCCGCACCACCUCAAAUUGACCAGGUCUCGAGUCGUCUAUAAAAGCUAUCCGAGACCACCACGAAUUAGGGUUUCAGCGCGGCAGCGGUUGCGGGCGGGCGGAUCCAGCACUGGCCGAGCGCGCGACGGCUGCCGCGCGGCGUGGCGAUCGUGUAGGAACCUGCUGCCGCUACAUGUCCUGUCCGCGAUGGAGAGCGCACGCGCCCGAUCUCGCGGUUCUUCAGGGCGCCAUGGGGAUGCGGCGGUUGCAGCAGUUGCGCGACGGUGGAACCAACGCGCGUGGACGGGCUGAUCCUACAUGGGCGGACCAGGACAACGAUUGUCAACAUGCGAGCGCGCGGGUUGUCACACCCGGGUUUCGGAGCACCAAGACCCGGGCGCGAACAUCAUCACCAGGUGUGCUGGGACCAAGUCUCACACAUAUGAUGAAUCAUGGGACAGGAUCGAAUGUCACAUCUUUACUACAUAACAGGAGUCCUGAACAAAAUAAAUAAAUAAUUACAUUAUAAGGAGACAACGGUCCAGCAACCCAAAGUUGACUGGGAGACGACGGCCUAGACCUCUCACGAACACAUCAUAGCAUCCUUCAUGCGCCUCAUCCUGUGAUACCUGUUCUUGACCUGUGGGGGUGUGAGACAGCAAGAGUGAGCUCACAUACGUUCAUAGCUCAACAAGUUGUGGGGAAUAAUGUGCAUGAACUCGCCAAAGGUGGGAGCUCACAAAGUGUAAGGCUUACCAAAGAGGAUGGUUGAGGCUGAGCAUUGCUUUUAGAGUUGGUCAAAAUUUUAUUAGCAAUUACUAAGUAUAAGUAAAUACCAACCCAAUUAAGUAGUAGAACAAAAGUAAUAACCUCACCUGCGAUGCAAUGUAUAUGACAAAUUGAAUUUAGUUCCAUAAAUUAAUCAUGUGAGGGUCCGAGCAGCUCUUGACCGUGAGCACGGCUGAUAUACCAGUUUUACACUCUGCAGAGGUUGCACAUCUUUACCCACAAGUCAUGUUACCCAUCUGCCAAGGGAUCGUGACUUCCCAUACACCUCUACCGAGGAGGCAAGGCAGGGUAACACUACGAGGCCUUUACAAAGUUCCACUAGCUUCAGAAAACCCGCUACAGUUUAUAGGAAGCUCCAAUGCAAGGACCCCUCGCAUGACCGCCAUCGCAGCAAAAUCAUCCCAAGGGCCUCCCUACACUGACCACUCCCCUACUGCACAUGCCCCUUUCGGGUAAGGUAGUCUUCCACUAGCUUUCCUAAUUAAUCAGCCAAGGGCGUCCCAUUAAACCCUUGUGGUAGCACUGUUUUCCCGGGUGGUCGCUCCAUGUUCCAAUUAAUGUAAUGAUCUUAUCAUGAAUAGUAAUAAUAAACUGAUAAUAAAAGUGUAAUCAUGAAUAAUGUAUCUCCAUACCCGAAACCACAUAAAGCAAUAGCAGGUACUACCCAAAAAUUCAGUGGUGAACAAGGUAUAAGGAUAGUCAAACUAGGAUAAUCUAUUAGGUCCCAUCAAAAUUAACCUAUGCAGAUCAUUAUGAUUAAUUAGAACAUGAGUGGGUAAAAAGAAGUGAUCAAGGGCACAACUUGCCUGGGACUUGAGAUUCCAGGUACCAGGAUGAUCUCCAGAUGACUCGUGACCUCACGCUAGUCGUAGCAAUACAGACAAACAUGGUAUAGGCAAAAUUAACAUCACAUCAAACAUAAGUACAAACUGAAUAAUAAUGAUCUACGCGAUGCUACGAGAUCGUGGGAACAAGAAUUACUAAAUACGGAACUACGGUUACCGAGUUAUGAUUUUCCGAAGAUCCACGUGGUUAAAUAUAGGAUAGACUAAGUGCAACAUUUUAACCUAUAUUUCAUGACAAAACAAAGUUACCAGAUGAUAAUAAAUAUUAUUGUGAGACUAAUGCAACUAGAAUGGAUCAAAACGGAGUUACGGUUACUAAGUUAUGAAUUUAUGGAGUUAUUGAGUACCUAGAACGGAUUAAUUCGAAUGAACAAUUUUAAUUCAAAUUUCAUGGCUAAACAGUGUUACUGUUUGGUAGAAAAUAUUAAUACAAAAUUAAUGCCACAAGAAUGGACCAAAAAGAAUUUAAAAUGAAUUUUCUAUGAAUUUAUUGAGUUUCUAGGUUUAUUUAUGUACUAAAAAGUAUUUACUAUAUUAUUUUUACUAUUUUCUUGGUUCACUGGACCGGGCGUCAAAUUCCAGAAAGGUUAGGGGCUAAGAUAUAAAUUUUCCCAGACACAGCUUUAACCCGCGGUGGACGGCGGGUUUAUUUUUCAAAAACUAGAGGGCUCUUUAGCAAUUACGCCACGACGAAGGGGUAUCUUCAAUCGCCAGACAUCCGAUCCCGAUCCAAAGGCUCAGAAUAGAUCGUGAAGGAGUACACGGUAGGCACCACAGGAUCCAAGAUCCACGGUCCAAAAUCUCUCUCCCGUAUUAAAUUGUUCUAGCCUUUGGAUUUCUGAUCCACGGCCGAUAACAAUCCUCUUACCCCAAUCCUUGAUGGCGCAUCCAACGGUCCUCCAUCAUCUUCCCUUCGCGAGGUAGACGGAGCAAUGGUUGCUCCCCGCUUGUGGUGGUAUCUGCCGACCAGGGGUCCAGUCCGCCCGGCGAUCCCCACCCGUUCGAGCUCCAUGGUGAAGUCCUCCCCGACGAGUAACGAAUUGAGUCCAUCAACUUCGCGCGCGAGAAAUAUUUGCACAGGGCGUUUCAUAUGGAAGGUUCCAGGUGGCGGAAACCCAGGGCAUGCCACCCAUGGCGAAUCGGUCGGCGGUGAGCCAUGCCCACGCCGCGGCGUGGCUUUCCCCCCUUCUGUGUAAGCUUUUGCUCCCUGAGACUUCCGUAGCGUCACAAGUCGAUGUGGGCGAAGGGAGGCGUGAGGGCUUGGCUUUUAUUCCCUAGCUGGAUGCGGCGAGCGAGGUCUUAACCAUCCGCGGCAUCCGCGCGAGCACGGAGAUGUUGUUGCUAUGGCCGCGGCUGCGUAGAAGACGAGUUCGACCAGUGCUAAUCCAAGCGGGGAUUACGGGGAUUCGGUCUCAGGCUUUAUCGCGUGUUUGUUUACCAUAAUCCCAGGGAAGAUCCGUGGUGGAUGAGGGAAGGAGUCUGUGGGGAAGACGACCAGUGGUAGGGACCCACAUGGCAGCGGCAAGAGCAUGGUGCGGGCCCAUUGGUCAGUUUCACGGUGCACGCGUGGGUGGGAGCGGCUUAUGACGAGUGGGCCCCACCUGUCGGCACGGAUGCAAGACGGGCUAGUACAGUCGAGUAGUAACUGGGCCAGAGUGGGGAUUCGACCCAGGUAGUGGUAGGUCUUCUUCUUUUUCUCUUUUUUUCAUUUUCUUUCCUACUUUCACAUUAAAUUCAAAUUCAAAUUUCGAACUAAGUUAACAUAGAGUUUAAACUUAAAGUAUAUUUAAGUGUCCAAACAAAACUCCAACAUGUUAUACUUGGUUUAUUUUAUUUUAUAUAUCAAAUAUCUAUUUAGUCAAAUGAAAUAUUCCCAUAUUGUUCCCUUUAGAUAGGUAGUACUUUGAAUGUGUGCCAAGAUCAAAGGUUAAUAAAUAUUCGUUGCUUAUUUUAGAAUGAACAAAUGUUUAAUCUUUACUUUUAGAGAUGUGUUAAUUUAAUUAUACAAUCAACCAAUAGAAAAUUAAAUAGAAUCCUUUUAUUUAAUGACUAUUAGAAAACAUGUUUAUUUUAGGGAUUGUAGCUUCCUCACAAUGAACCUCUUACUAUAAGGCAUUCCAAUUCAAAAUCCUUGGAGAAUUUUAAUACAUUCCUAAAACACUAACAUAAUUAUAUUUAUUUAUUAUUUUCCAUUUUUUUCUCUGAUACAAGUUUUGGGCUUUACACGGGUCUGUCAGGAUCCGGUGCGAGGGGCGCGGCUCUGGCCUACGUGCAGGCAGGCAAACCGGCGAGGGCGGGGCGUGGCUCUAACCAACGCGUGGUCGGGCGGUUCUGUCGUGGACGGAAGGGGUCCGCAGCGGGCGGGCGACAAGUUCGCGGUUGGCGGACGGACGCGGCACUAUCACAGGCAACGCAGUUGAGAUAGGAUCGACGGCGGCUGACUUCUCUAGGGGCGAGCUGCGACAGCGACCUCCCUUAGGCGCGAGUAGCGUCAGAUCCUAGAGGGGCGUGCGGCAGGCGACGACUCCCUUAGGGCGUGAUUGACAGCGUGUUUUUAUGCUACGCUGUAUACAUAUUUAUGCCAACGUAAAUAGAUGUUUACGACAUAUAUUUCAGUUAAUGGCUACCCUUACAUCUAUUGUCUGUUUAUGAUAUUUCUGUUCAUAUUUUACACAAACGUUUAUACAUCUGUAUGCAUUAUCUCGUUACCUAAUCCAGUGUGUAUAUGGGGUUUCUAACAUUUACGUUAGUUCGGUAUUUACGAUCAAAACUGAGAGGUUUUACACUCAAAACUGAAGUUUUUACGAUCGAACAUGGAGAUACGUCCAAACUGUGACCCGCAUGCCAAUUUUUAGGUAGUGUACCGUAAUACAUAAAUACUUUCACCGUGUAGCAUAAUUAGUAUCAAUAUAUAUCAUAAACUGUUUGUAACGAGGCUAGAUGCACGGCUGUUUUAGAGAUCCUAUUUUUAUGGACGAAAUAAAGCAUUUAAAUCAUAUAUUUUGUUUCGAUGCAUGCCAAUGUAUUUCUGAAAGGGAAAUGUGCCCUUGGGCCAUUUCUAUAAGAUUUUGGUGAUUAAGUGCUCCACACAAAUGCUUUGAGUGAUAUUUGUGCCAAAGACUCAAGAAGUGCAAAUCAAGAUUAAAAGGUAUGUUUCUAGACUUAGUACAUUGUUUUGAAGACUAAUGUAUUAUGUCUAAGUGCUGGAAAUAAGAGAAAUCGUUUUGGAGAAAAGUUGGCUGUGUACAGCAAAAGGCUGCUCGGUCUGGGUGCACCAGACAGUGUCUGGUGUGCCAGGACCAGUCCCGGUGAACAGCCUGCUCUCGGGUCUCGACGGUGGCGUACGACUAUAAAUCACCGGACUGUCCGGUAGUGCACCGGACUGUCCGGUGAGUCAUCUGCGGCGAAGUCGCUGCUCUCGGGAAACAGUCAACAGCGUACGACUAAAAUUCACCGGACUGUCCGGUAGUGCACCGGACCGUCCGGUGAGCCAACGGUCGACUGCGCCAACGGUCGACCGCGCAAUCCGCGCGUGACGCGUGGCCGAGCCAACGGUCAGAUGGGGGCACCGGACUGUCCGGUGUGCACCGGACAGUGUCCGGUGCUCCAACGGCUACAAAUCUUCAACGGUCGGCUGCGCCAAUUUAGGAAUGCAAUCUGCACCGGACAGUGAACAGUGGAUGUCUGGUGGUGCACCGGACUGUCCGGUGCGCCACCCGACAAAAGGCAAGAAUUGCCUUCCUGGAUUGCUUCCAACGGCUCCUAGCUGCCUUGGGGCUAUAAAAGGGACCCCUAGGCAUAUGGAGGAGUACACCAAGCAUACUUUGAGCAAUCUUAAUCUCUCACACUCCGUCUUUGCGCACUCGAUUGACAUUCUUAGUGAUUUGAGCUCUGUUCUAGUGGUGAACUUGUUGUGAUUCAUUCGAGCUCAAGUCUUGGCUGUGUGUGUGCGUAUUGCUGUGGAUUUGUGUGUGUUGCUUCCCUCCCUUACUCUAGUGCUUUCACUUUGAUCCUCAUUGUAAGGGCGAGAGACUCCAAGUUGUGGAGAUUCCUCGCAAACGGGAAAGAGUAAAGAAAGAAGAACACCGUAGUAUUCAAGUGGAUCUUUGGACCACUUGAAAGGGGUUGAGUGAAACCCUCGUCCAUUGGGAUGCCACAACGUGGAGUAGGCAAGUGUUGUACUUGGCCGAACCACGGGAUAACUCGCGUGUCUUUUGUGAUUGCUUUUCUGUGAUACUUGUGUUCACAAGAGCUCGCUAUUUAGCCUACUAACACUUAACCAAGUUUUUGUGGCUAUAAGUUUUAAGUUUUUACAGGAUCACCUAUUCACCCUCCUCUAGGUGCUCUCAAUUUCCUUUCAACGCACAUUCGUCCUAAAUUUGUGUGCAUGCAACAGGAAAUAAAUUUUUUUACGCGGUGUACCACACUACAUAAAUAACCAUGUAGCAUAAUUAGUAUCAGUAUAUGUCAUAAUUUGGUUCUAACGAGCCUAGCUGCAUGACUGUUGGAGAGAUCCUAUUUUUAUGGAGGAAAUUAACCAUUUAAAUCAGAUUUUUUUUAGUUUUCAUGCAUGCUAAUCUAUUUCCUUUUAACGCACAUUCUUUGUCAUCCUAAAUUUAUGCGCAUACAAUAGGAAACUGAUUUUUUACGCGGUGUACCACACUGCAUAAAUAUCCACACAGUGUAGCAUAAUUAGUAUCAGUAUAUAUCAUAAACUAAUUCUAACGAGCCUAGUUGCAUGAUUCUUUGUAGAGAUCCUAUAUUUAUAGGAGAAAUAAAACAUUUAAAUCAGAUUUUUUGUUUCCAUGCAUGUCAAUCAAUUUCCUCUCAACGCACAUUCUUAUCUUCUUAAAUUUGUGCACAUAUAGGAGGAAACUAGUUUUUUAUGCGGCAUGUCGUAUUGCAUAAAUACCUACACCGUGUAGCAUAAUUAAUAUCAGUAUAUAUCAUAAAAUGUUUCCAACAAAAUUAGCUGCAUGACUGUUAUAGAGAUCCUAUAUUUAUGGACAUAAUAAAACAUUCAAAUUAGAUUUUUUGUUUCUAUGCAUGCCAAUUCAUCUCCUAAAUUUGUGCGCAAGACUUCCAAUUUUGUUGCGCACGGCGGACCGCCGAGCUCCCCCCGAGAGCUUGGUUUGUAAGGUUCAUACGUGAUGAAGAUGGCUAGAGGGGAAGCGGGGCACGGUAUUUAUUUUCUAGAGCCUAAGAAAGCGCGGAGUCUAGUGGCCAGACCAUGGCUGAUCCCAACGCCCCCGACAAGCUCGGGUUCAGUUACCAGUGCCAACAGAGAAGAAGCCCUAACGAUGCGGGUCCACAGGUAAGCGACCCAGCAUGAGGGAAAUGAGCCCAACAUGCGGGGCCCACCCGCCAGUGGCGACGAGGCACGCGCGAGAGGCCGCGCAGAGUGGGUCGACGCGAGAGAAGGCUUACACGGGCCGACAGCUCGGUCAGUGGCUACCGCAGCCAUGGUCCUUUUCUUUUCUAUUUCAAAUAUCAAAUAUUUCCAAACCAAAUUCUAAUUCCUGUUUUGAGUGUUAGGUAUCAAAUCUCAAAUAUAAUCCAAUGCGAAUGUAAAUCCUACUAUUUCUAACAUUAUUAUUUAUUCUCCUUCUCAUUAUUUAAUUCUAGAAGUAAUAAAUGAUUUUAUUACAUGUUUCUUUUCAUAUUUUAUAUUUUAAUUUAUAAUUUGAGGUCAAAUUUAAAUUAUGAUUCCUUAUUUCAAUAAAAUGUAUCACCACAAAUUCAUAAGUAUGAGAUGCACAUUCCUUUAUUCAUCUAUUGGUUACAUGACUACAUUAAUGCCAUUAUCUGAUUAUGAGAAGGAAGGAACUAAUGGAUUUCCAAAGGUUUUCAAAAAUUCCCAAAACAUUACCAUAAAUAUAUGUAUUUAUUUCUUUUAUUUAUUUUUUAUAAAAAAUUUUGGGCUUUAUAACCUAGAGGGGAUGAAUAGGUGUUCCUAUAAAAAAUAUCUCAACAAAACAAACUUGGACUAAUAUUGGAUUAGUGAAAGUAAGAGCCAAGUUCAAAUGAGGAGUAUGAGCAGAGUAAACUUCUUCACUUAAUUGCUCUUCACUAAGUGAGUAUUAAAUUUAGAGCAAUAAUGUAAGUGAAGUGAAUAGAGAUAAAAUCACAGUAGGAUAAAGACAAGUAACACGGCGAUUUUUAUCAUGUGGUUCGGUCAAGUAGAAUACUUGCCUACUCCACGUUGUGGCGUCCCAACGGACGAGGGUUGCACUCAACCCCUUUCAAAUGAUCGAAAGAUGUAAUACCCAAUUUUGGAAUAUAAAAGAGAAGAAUAAAUCUUUAUGUGUAUUGUACUUUUCAUUCAUAAGAAUUACUAGGAAACAUAUUUCAAGUGGAUAAUCCUCCAAUAAAACAUGCAUCAAGUUGGAGUUUGUAGGUUUGUGCGUUAAAUAAUGAUAAUAAUUAUAAUAAUAAUAUAAUAAUAGUGAUUGGAGGUUUGGAUUAAACCCUAAAUUGAAAUUGAAUUGGAAAUAAGAAAGAAAGAGAGAAAUAUUAUACAACACCAAAAUAAAAUUACAAAUAAAUAAGUCCAUCUUAAUUUUUGGGCAUGUUCAAAUCAUACAUCUAAAAAUGAGUACAAAACUCACUAUGAAAAUUUGAAUUCACAUUUGGAAUGAAUAGGUAAAAAGAAAAAGAAAUAGGAAAGGAAAAAGGGGAAGAACUCGGAUUGGGCCUGCAAGCACCAUUUUGGCCCAUCCUUUGCGUCCUUCGUGCGCGCGCCAGGUCCAUAUCAGCACUGUGCCGACAUCGGGGACCCACUGGCCAGCCGCUCGCCCUCACGCUAGCGCGCGCUGCCUCACUGUCUAGUGGCCCCCUCCGUUAGAUCUUUCCCCCGCAACUAGGGAUGGCAGUGGGUAAGGUACCCAGUGGGCACACGAAGCCAUACCCAUACCCACUAGGAAAAAAUUGACCCAUACUCAUACCCACUACCCUUCAUGGGUACAAAAUUAUGUCAUACCCAUACCCAACAUGGGUAGCGGGUAUCCAUCGGGUACCCAUACCCAUUAACAUUACGAUAGACAUGAUCAUUUGAAUCGCAAAAAUAAGUACCAGCAUAACAAAUGUAUCGAACCCAACAUAAUUUUAUCACAGGUUCAACAAUAUUCAAUAUUAAAUAGCAAUAUCAUGCCUUCAAAUCACACAAAACAUAGCAUUGACAUACCCAUACCCACCAUGGGUAGCGGGUAUCCAUCGGGUACCCAUACCCAUUAACAUUACGAUAGACAUGAUCAUUUGAAUCGCAAAAAUAAGUACCAGCAUAACAAAUGUAUCGAACCCAACAUAAUUUUAUCACAGGUUCAACAAUAUUCAAUAUUAAAUAGCAAUAUCAUGCCUUCAAAUCACACAAAACAUAGCAUUGAUUCUACAAAACUGUGGACAAAACAUAGUAUUCAUUUUAUAUGAGACAUAUAAAUCCGGACCCACGUGUCAUAUAUUAGCGGGUUCCCCAUCGGGUAGCGGGUAUGGAGCAACAGAGAACAUACCCACGCCCACCAUACCCGAUGGGCAUAACAAAUGACCCAAUAAAAUACCCAUGGGUAUCAAAAUCCGCCAUACUCGUGCCCUAAUAGGGUUUUUACCCAUCGGGUUUCGGGUUUCGGGUACCCAUUGCCAUCCCUAGGCCGAACUGACGGCACGCACACGCACUGAGCCAGCAAAAGGUAUGGUAGCAUAGAGGAGUUUGGGGUAGGGAUGGCAGUGGGUAAGGUACUCAGUGGGCACACGAAGCCAUACCCAUACCCAGUAGGAAAAAUUGACCCAUACCCAUACCCACUACCCUUCAUGGGUACAAAAUUAUGCUAUACCCAUACCCACCAUGGGUAGCGGGUAUCCAUCGGGUACCCAUAUCCAUUAACAUUAUGAUAGACAUGAUCAUUUGAAUCGCAAAAAUAAGUACCAGCAUAACAAAUGUAUCGAACCCAACAUAAUUUUAUCACAGGUUCAACAAUAUUCACUAUUAAAUAGCAAUAUCAUGCCUUCAAAUCACACAAAACAUAGCAUUGAUUCUACAAAACUGUGGAUAAAACAUAGUAUUCAUUUUAUAUGAGACAUAUAAAUCCGGACCCACGUGUCAUAUAUUAGCGGGUUCCCCAUCGGGUAGCGGGUAUGGAGCAACAGAGAACAUACCCACGCCCACCAUACCCGAUGGGCAUAACAAAUGACCCAAUAAAAUACCCAUGGGUAUCAAAAUCCGCCAUACCCGUGUCCUAAUAGGGUUUUUACCUAUCGGGUUUCGGGUUUCGGGUACCCAUUGCCAUCCCUACCCGCAACGAACUCACUAAGCUCAGCGGUGGCGCGUAAUUGUCGCACGAGUCGUUGCGACGCCUUGGCCUAGUCCAUGCCUAUUUACGUGGCCACGAUCUUGGUGCCGUCCUAUUCUCCUCCUUGUGCAUCCUCGCCUCCACCGAAAGAUUGUGCGUCGUGUGAGGAUGGGAGGGAAAACCUGAACCCGUUCGACCAUGGGUGGGGAACGCGUCGCCACCAUCGCCUGGUGCUCGCGGGGCGUUUGGGGAAGCUUGCCAGCGUGCCCUGACCCUGUGUAGUGAGGUCGUUGGGCGUGUGGCCGUCUGGUGUGUGCGAAUCUUCACCACGUCGAUCCGCCAUCGUCGCCGAGACUGCCUGGCGUCACGUCCGUGCCCCCUUUCCGCCUUCUCUGUUGAUAAUUCCUGUUCCCUAGCUGCGUCACCUCCCUUGGUCGGUAGGAGUUCACCCCACGCCCGAAAUUUGACUUGCGGUCUCUGAAAUUGCUCGCCGGUGUGGUGAUUUCACCAUGAAAUCGCCCUCCCGUAGCCGGAACUCCAUACUGCGGAACGCGGCCGACGAAGCCAUCUGUGUAGUUCCCAAUCACUCACAUUUCAUUUUGUGCUAAUCGGGGCUGGGGUUUGUCAACGGGUGAUGGGGCGUGGGGGGGUUCCGGCGUGUUGCGCGACCGUGGAUGGGCGGCGCCGCCGUGUAGAGACGUCCGAGGACGAAGACGCGCUCGGGCCGUUAGAUUGGCAUUGGACGAUUACGAUUAGUCCUCCCAGGAAAUGAGUCUGGAUGGUUAGAUCGGGAUCGGGCGACCCAGAUUAAGUCCAGCGUACCUCUUCGUCCAACUGGAUCUUGGCCGUAGAUUUAUAAUCCGAUGCAUGUGAAUGAAUCCCGAUAAUAUAGAAUUCAAGCCAUUGAUCUUGAUCCUGCAGCUCAAAUUUAAUACCAGCCCAACCUCCCCUUGAUCUGUUCUGGACCGUACAGAUCUAAUCCAACAGCCCAUAUCCACCGAUACCCUUUCGCGGCACAUUUUUCUUAAAGAGACCCUGGGUUAUUGAUGAUUAAACCUGCAGUCCACCUUGUACAGCACUCUGAGUCUAAGUUUCUUUUACGCCCGAGUCCUUGUGUUUUCCAGAAAUUGGUGCCCAAUCCAGAGAGUAGUGGAAAUAGGAAAAUAAUCACAGAAAUUGAUUUUAAAUGUAUAAAUAAAUGUUAGAACUUGUUUAAUUUGUAGAAAAUUCAUAUGAACUCCAAAUUGAUCCAUUCCAGUUUCUAAAAUUUUGUAAUAUUAUUGUUUAUCACCUAGUGCCUCUGUUUUGACAUGAAAGACACAUUAAAAUUUAUCUUUUACUUAAGCUUGUAUUAAAUACAUAAAACCUUGGGAAAUUCAGAACUUAAAAUCUAUAACUCCAAAUUUAAUGAUUCCAGCUCCUAUGAUCUUAUUUUAAUGUGUAGAUAAUUGUUAUGCAUUUUGUUUACAUGCUUGGUGUGAUGUUAAUUUUUGUUAUACUAUGUAUGUUUGUAUUGAUGCGAGUAGACAAGCAAGCUACUGAGGAUCCUGGUGCCCAGUAGAUAGAAGUUGCUGAGCAGGAGCUCAUUGAAGGCAAGUUGUGCCCUUGAUCACUUUCUUUUUACCCAGUCAUGUUCUUAUUAAUCAUAAUGAUCUGCAUAGGUAAAUUUUGAUGGGAUCCAAUACGUUACCCUAGUUUUGGCUAUCUUUAUACCUUGUUUUAUCACUGAAUAUUUUUGGGUAGUAUAUGCUAUUGCUUUAUGUGGUUUUGGGUAUGGAGAUAUACAUCACUCAUUGUUACACUUUUGUUAUCAGUUAUUAUUUACUAUUCAUGAUAAGAUCAUUAUGUUAAUGGGAACAUGGAGAACCACCCGGGAAAACAGUGCUACCACAAGGGUGGUAUGGGACACCCUUGGCUGAUUAACUAGGAAAGCUAGUGGAUGACUACCUUACCCGAAAGGGGCAAGGGCAGUAGGGGAGUGGUCAGUGUAGGGAGGUCCUUGGGUUGAUUUUGCUGCGAUGGUGGUCAGGCGAGGGAUUUCUACAUUGGAGCUUCCUAGAACUGUAGCGGGUUUUCUGAAGCUAGUGGAUCUUUAUAAAGGUCUCGUAGUGGUACCCUGCCUCGCUUCCUUGGUAGAGGUGUAUGGGGUCCGAUCAACCCCAUGGCAAAUGGGUAACACGACUUUGUGGGUAAAGAUGCGCAACUUCUGCAGAGUGUAAAACUGGUAUACUAGCCGUGCUCACGGUCAUGAGCGGCUUGGACACUCACAUGAUUAAUUUAUGGAAUUAAACUCAAUUUGUCAUUUUAUUGCAUUGGGAUUAUUUUAUUAUUACUUUUACUUAUUAUUACUAUGGUUUGGUAUUUACUUACACUAACUGCUAAUAAAAUUUUGACCAACAUAUAAAAGCAAUGCUCGACUUCAGCCUUUAUUACAUUGAUUUGCCUUACACUUCACAUGAACUCUCACCUUUGAUGAGUUCAUGCACAUUAUUCCCCACAACUUGUUGAGCGAUAAACAUGUGUGAACUCACCCUUGCUGUCUCACACCCCCCACAGGAGAAGAACAGGUGGUCGAAGAGGAGCCGCCUAACACUGAGGCUUUCGACUUGAUCUAGGUGGCGUCUCCUAGUGAGCUUUGUGGCGCCAGUGAAUAAUAUUUAGUUCGCUUUAUUUUAUCAUUUAUUUUUGUAAGACUUCCACUAUGUAAUAAGUACAUUUAUGAUAUUUAUGACAUUUAUCUCUAUGCACUCUAUUAUUAUAUGUGUUGUCUUCUUUGGCGCAUAUAUGAGAUGCACCCGGCUUUGUUCCUUAAAUCCGGGUGUGACAAAAGAUCAACUUGAAUACCACGGUUCUCUUUAUCUCAAUAAUAUCCCAUUGUGAGGAAUCUCCACAAUUUGGAGUCUCUCACGCCUUACACAAAUGACCUCAAAUGAACACAAGAGUAAGGGGAAUAGAAACACACACAAGAACGAGAGUUGCAGUAACAACAUGCACAUAAGACAAGAGAGAGCACACGAAGCAGCACAGUGGAGUUACAGCUUAAAGAAGUGCUCAAAUCUCUAUCACAAUGAAACAAUUGCGUGUUUGUGCAUUCUCAGUGUUGUAGAAUGUUCAAUGGGUGCUUGGUGUAGAGCUCCAUGCGCCUGGGGGUCCCUUUUAUAGCCCAAAGGGACCUAGGAGCAGUUGGAGCUCCAUUUGGUAGGCUUUGGUUGCCUUCUGUCAGUGGGCGCACCGGAUAGUCCGGUGCACCACUGGACUGUGAACAGUGCGAUUCCCUUCCUUCUUUGACAAAGCCGACUAUUGCCAGCCGCUGGCCCCGUGGCACACCGGACAGUCCGGUGCGGCCUAGUGACCGUUGACUGAGUCCACGUGUUGCCCGUUGAUAGAGUGGUCGACCGUUGGAUGGACGCGCGACUGGUACACUGGACAGUCCGAUGAAUUUUAGCCAUGGCACCCUCCACUUUUCUCGAGAGAGGCCUGUUCACUGAGCGCGCCAGCCUGGGCAUCAGACACUGUCUGGUGCACACCGGGUAGUCUGGUGUACCGUAGGCUAGUGCAAGUUUGGAUGAACUUAGCCAAACUUCUCCCUUUGAAUCUCUCUUGAUUUCAGAAGUUUCCUAGCACUUAGUAGAACAUAGUUAGUACAAAAAAACAAUUUACUAAGUACUAGAAUCAUACCUUUGUUUCUUGUAGAGUUUGCACUUUGUUCUUACAACUCUCAAUUUGCUUCACUUUGACUCUAAGCUCAUACUCACAAUUAGUAUGUUAUAUCAAAGUGAUGUGUUAGAAACUUAAUCACCAAAACACUUAGAAAUGGCCCAACGACACAUUUCCCUUUCAACCAUUGAUAGUCGCGUAGAGGGGGGUGAAUAGGCGGAAUCUGAAAAUUAUAAACUUAAGCACAAACUACAAGCCAGGGUUAGCGUUAGAAAUGAAUUCGAGUCUGAAAGAGAGGGGAAAAACAAAUCAAGAGUGAAUCAAACGGAUGAACACGGUGAUUUGUUUUACCGAGGUUCGGUUCUAAAGAACUUAGUCCCCAUUAAGUUGGUCACAAAGACCGAGUCUCUUUCAACCCUUUCCCUCUCUCAAACGGUCACUUAGACUGAGUGAGACUUUUCCUUAAUCUCCUAGGUCACUUAGACCCCGCAAGGACCACCACAACUUAGGUGUCUCUUGCUUCGAUUACAAAUCACUUGAGAAAAGAAACGAGAAAGGAAGAAGGCAAUCCAAGAGGCAAGAGCUCAAAAGAACACAAAAUCUCUCUCUCACAAGUCACUAAGUGCUUGAGUUGAAUUUGGGACUUGGAGAGGCUUUGAUCUUUUGAAUUGUGUCUAGGAGUGAAUGCUAGAGCCCUUGUAUUGAAUGUGAUGCUCAGAAAUCUUGGAUCCUUGUGGUGGUGGUGGUUGGGGGGUAUUUAUAGCCCUCAACCACCAAACAACCAUUGGGGCAGGCUGCUGUCGAUGGGCGCACCAAACAGUCCGGUGCGCCACCGGACACUGUCCGGUGCGCCAGCCACGUCACCCAAUCGUUAGGGUUCCAGAGCUCUUGACCGCUGGAGGCUUUGUCCUCUAGUGGCACCGGAAAGUCUGGUGCUACACCGGACAGGCACUAUUCAGUGUCCGGUGUGCCUCUGACUCUGCGCUCUGACUCUGCUACGCACUGUGGCGCACUGUAGCGUUGCAGUGAGCCGUUGCAGUCGACCGUUGCGCUGGAUAGCCAUUACUCAGCUAGUGCACCGGACAGUCCGGUGGCACACCGAACAGUCCAGUGAUUUUUAGUGAAGCGCGCCUGGAGAAACCCGAGAGUGUCCAGUUCGAGAUUGUACAGUCCUGGUGCACCGGACACUGUUCGGUGGCACACCGGACAGUCUAGUGCGCUAGACCAGGGCACACUCGGUUUCUUUGCUCCUUUGUCUUUGAACCCUAACUUCAAUCUUUUAUUGGUUUGUGUUGAACCUUUAUGCACCUGUAGAAUAUAUAUACUAGAGCAAACUAGUUAGUCCAUUAUUUGUGUUGGGCAUUCAACCACCAAAAUUAAUACUGGGAAAAGGUUAACCCUAUUUCCCUUUCAAUCUCCCCCUUUUUGGUGAUUGAUGCCAACACAAACCAAAGCAAAUAUAUAACUGCAGAAAUGAACUAGUUUGCAUAAUGUAAGUGCAUAGGUUACUUGGAAUUAAACCAAUUUAUAAUUUCACUAGAUAUGAAUGGAUUACUUUCUUCUAUUUAAUAUUUUGGACCACAUUUGCACCACUUGUUUUGUUUUGCAAACCUUUUUGGGAAAUAUUUUUCAAAGUCUUUUACAAAUAGUCAAAGGUAUAUGAAUAAGAUUGCAAGAAGCAUUUUCAAGUUUUGAAAUUUCUCCCCCUAUUUCAAAUGCUUUUCCUUUGACUUGACAAAACUCCCCCUAAAUGGAAUUCUCCUCUUAGUUUUCAGGAGGGUUUUAAUAGAUACCAAUUGGAAAUAUAUUCGGAAUUUAGAUACCAAUUUUGAGAAUCUAUCUUCCUAAAUAUACCAAUUGAAAAUAAACAUACCAAUUUGAAAUAUACCAAUUAAAAAGUUUCAAAACACAAUUUAAAAUUAGGUGGUGGUGCGGUCCUUUUGCUUUGGGCUUAAUACUUUCUCCCCCUUUGGCAUUAAUCGCCAAAAACAGAGACUUUGAGAGCCCUUGUAUUUUCUUCCCCAUUGGUAAAUGAAAUAUGAGUGAAGAUUAUACCAAUUUGAGAGUGAUGUGGAGUGACGGCGAAGGGUAAAUGAUACCGUUAGAGUGGAGUGGAAGCCUCGUCUUCGCCGAAGACUUCAUUUCCCUUUCAAUCUAUGACUUAGUAUAGAAAUAUACUUGGAAACACAUUAGUCAUAGCCUUGGUACACAAAUAAUAAGAAAUAUGCAUUUGUACCAAAAUGAAAGAGAUAUGAUCAAAGGUAUAUAAAUGAGCUAUGUGUGCAAUGUUUCAAUCAAAAUUCCGGGAAUCAAGAAUAUUUAGCUCAUUCCUAAGUUUGCUAAAGGUUUUCUCAUCUAAUGGCUUGGUAAAGAUAUCAGCUAAUUGUUCUUUGGUGCUAACAUAAGCAAUCUCGAUAUCCCCCUUUUGUUGGUGAUCCCUCAGAAAGUGAUACUGUAUGUCUAUGUGCUUAGUGCGGCUGUGUUCAACGAGAUUAUCCGCCAUGCGGAUUGCACUUUCAUUAUCACAUAGGAGAGGGACUUUGCUCAAUUUGAAGCCAUUGUCCCUAAGGGUUUGCCUCAUCCAAAGUAAUUGCGCACAACAAUGGCCUGCGGCAAUAUACUCGGCUUCGGCGGUGGAAAGAGCUACUGAGUUUUGUUUCUUUGAAGCCCAAGACACCAGGGAUCUCCCCAGAAACUGACAAGUCCCUGAUGUGCUCUUCCUAUCAAUUUUACAUCCUACCCAAUCAGCAUCAGAAUAUCCUAUUAAAUAAAAAAUGGAUCCCUUGGGGUACCAAAGACCAAACUAUAAUACCCAAAAGUGUAGAAUGAAAAUAUAGUGGAAUUACAUAUAUGUUUUUGCCCUGGUUAUUAUGACAUGUGAACAACAAAUUUAAAAGUGGACAACUAAAUAAAAGACACAUAAAUAACUCAUGCAUCAUGCUGGAGUUUAUUUUAUUGCGCAUAUAUAAAUAAUAAAAAUUAUAAUAUAAAAAACAAUACAUUGAUAUACAAACUAGAAUUUAAAACCUAAAUGGGGGGCAAAACUUUGGAGAAAGAGAAGAGAAUACCGCAUAAAAUAAAGCAAAUAUAUAUAUAUAUUCUUCUUAUCAUAAGAUUUGAAUUUUGUACGUUGAUAUACGUGCAAGUCACAACCAAAUUUAAAUUCGAAAUUCGAAAUCUAAAAUGAAAAAAAUAAUAAAAAAAGAAAGAAGAAAGAACCUGAAUGGGCCCAAACCUUCCCCUUGGCCCACCGGCUCCUUGCUUCGUGCGGCCCAAUACCAGCCGACUCCAGUCCGCAGGCGUGCGCUCCAACUCCUUAGGGCUUGUUCGGUUAUUUUCGUUCCAUGUGGAUUAGAGUGGAUUUGGUGGGAUUGAGAUGUAUUUUGACCUAUUAUGGAUUUAAACCGACUCGAUACCAUCCAAUACACAUGGAUACACAUCAAAACGAACAAGCCCUUAGUUGGCUGACCAUGCGGGCCAGCUGCUCAGCCUCUCCACCGGUGCUUACGCGUGGGUCCGGAUCAUGGGGGGUAUCUUCUUCCUCCCUGCUUCCGCGUCAAUCGGAUGGUAGGAACCGUUCGCGGCAUGUGCGGACCAGCUGACCGCCUGGGCUCCGAGUUCGUAAAUGGGGAGGUGGGAUUCCAGACCACGAUUUCGUCCGCUCUGAACCUCGACCACAAUUGUCGCAGAACCAGGAAAAGCGAGAAAAAGUGGAGACGAUCUCGCCGCUGCCCUUCUCUUCGCCUCUUUCGCCGCUGCGCUCACAUCCACCAAGCCGUCGGGCUACACACAAAUAGUGGGACCGUUGCAACCACCGCGGCUUCCCUGGGAUAUUUACGCAGUGCGCCCAACGAUUCUUCCCCUCUCCUUUAUGUCGUGAUCUCAAAGCGAAUUGCGGGAUCCCUAGCUGCCGCCGUGUGCAUCUGCGUCGUGAGGAGAGAGGGUAAGGGAGAGAAAAUCUAUGCCGCCGUUGUGGUUCUCCUCGUUCGCCGUCGCCAAAGCAGUAACUCCCGGCCGCUGGUGGUCCCUGGAUCCUCCGCGAGCUGCCUCUGCCGCGCGUCAACUGCGAUAAUGCGGUCGCCAUGGCGCGCCCGCGCCACCGUCUCAGCGGCUGUUUCCAAUCUGCUCUACCGAUUGGUAGACGGCUGGGGGAGCAUCUUCUCCGGGGGACACCGCGUGUCGUGGAGCCUUGCCGAAGUUCAGGGACGUCUGGGGAUGGCGUAAUUGCUUGUCGUGGUUUAUGCAUCGCCGCGAGGUUGCUGGGAUUGGUGGUCUUCGCACUCCAACGCAUCAACCGCACGUAUUGCUGUAUCCAUAUACUAGUUCGCACUCGACUCUAGAUCGCGUAGCACCUGAGUUUGUGGAGUCUGGGGCAUGGAAACAACGUUGGGGCGUGGGCCGGUGUGACCUCAGCCACGGGCGAUGGCCGUCUGCCGUGGCUGGCUGUCGGAGGGUAGAAGGAGAGUCCUUGGCGGUCGGUUUCUUGAUGGACGGCUCGGAUUCAACCAGAGCCAUACCGGUUGGGUGGAUAAUUCGUAGCCCCUGGAUCGUGAUCCUGCGGCUCGAGAUGGAAUCGCUCGUGAUUAAGUGCCCACAGUUGAUCCUUGAUCUUGUGGACUGGAAUGCGUACCAGUUCAAUUGGGGUGGGGAUCUAAUCUGGACCAUCUGGGUCAGAUCUUACGGCCCUGUGUAACCCAUACCCCUUUGGCAUGUGUUUUUAUAAAAUGAACCCUAGAAAACCUAUGAAUCAACCCGUCGUCCAAUGCAGCAUCCCUCUGUGUCUGUGGAAUCUUGCGCCAGACCCCCUGCACUUUCCAGAAACCGAGGCCCAGUCCAGAGUGGAUUAAAAAUAGAGAAAUAAUCUUAGAAAUUCGUUUUUAAUACAAAAACAAAUCUAGAAACUUGUAAAAUGCAUAAAAAAUUCAUUUUAGCUCCAAAUUGAACCAUUCCAAUUCCUAUAAUUUUGUAAUAUUAAUGUCUAUCAUUUAGUGUCUCUGUUUUUACAUGAAAACAGUAAGAAAAUUAAUUUCUCAUUUAAUCCUAUUUCAAGCACAUUAAACCUUAGGAAAUUCAUAACUUGAAAUCUAUAACUCCAAAUUUAAUGAUCCCAGUUCCUAUGAUCUCAUUUUAAUGUGUAGAUUUUUAUUGUUUAUUUUAUUUAUCUGUUUGAUGUGAUGUUAAUUUAUGCUAUACUAUGUAUGUAUUGUGUUGAUGCGAGUAGACGAGCAAGCCACUGUGGAAUCUGAGGUUCGGUAAGUAGAAGUAGCUGAGCAGGAGCUCAUUGAAGGCAAGUUGUGCCCUUGAUCACUUACUUUUUCCUAGCCAUGUUCUUAUUAAUUAUAAUGACCUGCAUAGGUUAAUUUUGAUGGACCCAAUAGGUUACUCUAGAUUUGACUAUCUUUAUACCUUAUUUCACCACUGGUUUUACUACUAAAUUUUUGGGUAGUACAUGCUAUUGCUUUAUGUGGUUUUGGGUAUAGAGAUAUUUUUUACUCAUGAUUACAUUUUUAUUAUUUGUUUAUUAUUACUAUUCAUGUUAAGAUCAUUAUGUUAAUGGGAACAUGGAGCAACCACCCGGGAAAACAGUGCUACCACAAGGGUUUAAUGGGACGCCCUUGGCUGAUUAACUAGGAAAGCUAGUGGAGGUCUUCCUUACCCGAAAGGGGCAAGGGCAGUAGGGGAGUGGUCAGUGUAGGGAGGUCCUUGGGUUGAUUUUGCUGCGAUGGCGGUCAGGCGAGGGAUUCCUGCACUGGAGCUUCCUAUAAACUGUAGCGGGAUUUCUGAAGCUAGUGGAACUUUGUAAAGGCCUCGUAGUGUUACCCUGCCUCGCAUCCUUGGUAGAGGUGUAUGGGAUUGGCCGUCUCUUGGCAGAUGGGUAACAUGACUUUUGGAUAAAGAUGCGCAACCUCUAUAGAGUGUAAAACUAGUAUACUAGUCGUGCUCACGGUCAUGAGCGGCUCGGACCCUCACAUGAUUAAUUUAUGGAACUUAAAUUUAAUUUGACAUUUUGCAUCGCAUUUGGGAUUAUUUUACUAUUACUUUUCUUUAUUAUUAUUAAGGUUUGGUAUUUACUUACACUUAUUAAUUGCUAAUAAAAUUUUGACCAACUUAUAAAAGCAAUGCUCAGCUUCAGCCUUUAUUUCAUUGAUCAGCCUUACACUUCUUGAACUCCCACCUUUGGUGAGUUCAUGCCACAUUAUUCCCCACGACUUGUUGAGCUAUGAACGUAUGUGAGCUCACUCUUGCUGUCUCACACCCCCACAGGAGAAGAACAGGUGGUCGAAGAUGAGUUGCCUAACACUGAAGCAUUCGACUUGAUCUAGGUGGCGUCUCCCAGUCAGCUUUCUGGCGCCAAGGAUAGAUUUUAGUUCCUGCUAUAUUUAUCAUUUAUUUUUGUAAGUCCUCCGCUAUGUAAUAAGUACUCUGAUUUUACUGUGACAUUUAUCUCUAUGCACUCUGUUAUUAUAUAUGUUGUCUUCUUUGGCGCAUGUAUGACAUGCACCCGGAUUUGUCCCUUAAAUCUGGGUGUGACAGAAGUGGUAUCAGAGGAAAUGUUGAGUGUAGGACGAAACCUAGAUAGAAAUGGACAAACCCUUACCUACUUAUCUUACUCUGAUUCAUUCCAUACUUACCUUAUCUUGAUCUUGUCUCACCUUUUGCUAUUCUACUCUGAUUAUUCUUACCUUUACUACUCUAAGACAAGAUGGAUUUCACACCUUGGAAUCCUACAUUUAUGAACUUUUUAAGAGAUAGGAGACCUAAGACAAAAUUAAAAUUAUUUUCUCUAUUAAAAAUGUUGGAUGAUUGUUCUGUUGAUAAAUGCUUGAUUUGCUUCUUUGAUUGAUUGAAAUAGUAUAGACGGGCAUCUUAGCAUGUACCACCAUAAGGUAAUGUAUUAGCUUUAGUGGAUAACACACUAAUCUACUUAGCUAAUAAAUUCCCCGCAGUAACAUGCCUUGUAAUUACAUGCCUUGUCUACAAUCCUUUCCUUUGUACCCUGUGUUUCUAACCUAGAUGGGCUACCCCUAUACUGUUAGAAGAGAGCAGUAUAGACUUGAUCCUUGGUAUGUCAUGGUUAAGAAAGGCAAAGACAGUUUAUACACUGUGCUAAGGGAACCAUAGAACUCACCAGUUCCAAAGGAGAAAGAUUUGAAGUUGGAAUUGCAGUAACUACUGCCACCAGACUAGCGGCAUUCUUAGUAGAUAGGAAGUUUGUUGGUGUCAACAUCCGUGUGGUUAGAGAUUUUUCGGAUGUCUUCCCAGAAGAGUCACCAGGGAUGCCACCAUAUAGGGAAAUUGAGUUUGUCAUUGCUCUCUUACCUGGGACUGCUCCUAUUUCUAAACGGCCAUACAUGAUGUCCGUAGAAGAGCUAAAGGAACUUAAGAAGCAGUUAACGGAAUUAUAGGAUGCUGGGUACAUUCGUCCAAGUUCUUCACCUUGUGGAGCGCCAGUUCUAUUUAUACAAAAGAAAGAUGGGUCACAAGGGAUGUGCGUGGAUUAUAGGACCCUUAAUGAUGUCACUGUGAAGAACAAGUAUCCAUUACCCCGCAUUGAAGAUUUAUUUGAUCAGAUGAAAGGUGCAAGAGUAUUCUCGAAGAUUAAUCUUCGAUCGGGUUACCAUCAAAUGAAGAUUAGGCCAUUGGAUAUUCCCAAGACGGAUUCCUCGACCCGAUAUGGUUUAUAUGAGUUCACCAUUAUGUCAUUUGGACUAACUAGUGCACCAACCUAUUUUAUGGAUCUGAAGAAUAAGGUGUUCAUGAUCUAGACAGAUUCGUCAUGGUUUUCAUCGACGAUAUUUUUAUUUAUUCCAAGAGUGAUAGUGAUCAUGAGGAACAUCUGAGAUUGGUGCUACAAAAGAUAAGGGAUAAUCAACUCUACGCCAAGUAUAGCAAAUGCGAGUUUUGGAUUGGCGAGGUGCCAUUCCUUGGACAUAUCAUUUCUAAUGGAGGGAUAUCAGUGGAUCCUGCUAAAGUCAAGGAGAUAGUGGCGUGGAUCAUACCCACUAUAGUUACUGAGGUCCGGAGUUUCUUGGGACUUGCAGGAUAUUAUUGGAGAUUUAUUGAAGGACUUUCUAAGAUCGCUAAGCCUAUGACCUCACUUCUAGAGAAGGGAAGAGAGUUUAAGUGGGAUGAGAAGUACCAAGACAGCUUUAAUCAACUAAAGAAGAGGUUAAUGUCACCAGUAUUGGUUAUACCGGAUCUACAGAAGGGAUUUGACAUUUAUUGUGAUGCAUGUGACCAAGGCUUGGGAUGUGUGCUCAUGCAAGAAGGACAUGUGAUCGCCUACGCGUCUCGUCAGUUGCGGAAACAUGAAUUGAACUACCCCACGCAUGACUUAGAACUGGCAGCCAUUGCGCAUGCGCUUAAGAUUUGGAGACAUUAUAUUAUGGGAACCAAGUGUCAAGUAUGCACGGAUCAUAAGAGUUUGAAGUACACAUUUUUCACUCAGAAGAAUCUCAACCUUAGGCAAUGUCGUUGGUUGGAGCUUAUUAAGGAUUAUGAUUUUGAGAUUCACUAUCACCCGGGCAAGGCGAAUUUGGUUACAGAUGCCUUGAGUCAAAAGGAGCAUGUUCAUUCAGCUGUUGUUGCCCAGCUACCCGAUGAGAUUGUUGAGGAUUUCAGGAGACUUAACCUGGGGAUAGUUGCUCACACUGAAGGAGUUAUUAUUGAUGUGGAACCUACUUUGGAGAAAGAAAUCCGUAAAGGACAAAUUGGUGAUGCUAAGAUACAAGAGAUUAAGGAUCUGAUUACUGAAGGUCGAGGUUCGGAAUUCACGGAAGAUGAGCAAGGCACCAUAUGGUUCAAGGAUAGGAUAUGUGUUCCUAAUAUUGAAAGCCUUCGUGAGAUUAUUUUAAAGGAAACCCAUGACUCGGAUUAUUCUAUUCAUCCUAGGAGUACCAAGAUGUAUCAGGAUUUGAAGUAGAAAGUUCUGGUGGUAUGGAUUGAAGAGAGAUGUGGUGCACAUGUGGUUAUGUGCGAUGUGUCAAAGAGUUAAGGCAGAACACCAAAGACCAACUGGACUAUUAUACCCAUUAAAGAUACCCGAAUGGAAGUGGGAAGAGAUUGGUAUAAACUUUAUUACUGGAUUGCCUCGCACCCCGAGAGGAUAUGAUUCGAUAUGGGUUAUUGUGGAUAGAUUGAACAAAGUGGCUCAUUUCAUUCCGAUCAAGACUACUUAUAAGAUAUCUCAAUUGUUAGAGUUAUAUAUGUUUCGGAUUAUGUCUCUACACAGUGUACCGAAGAAGAUCGUUUCGGAUAGAGGACCACAGUUCACCUCUAGACUUUGGAAAAGUUUUCAUGAGAAUUUGGAUACGAAUUUGAAGUUUAGUUUGGCUUACCAUCCUCAGACUGAUGGACAGACUGAAAGAACUAAUCAAGUAUUGGAGGACAUGUUGAGAGCUUGUGCCCUUCAGCAUGGUAGUAGUUGGGACAAGAGUCUACCUUGUGCUGAGUUCUCAUAUAAUAAUAGUUACCAGGCCAGUCUAAAGAUGUCACCUUUCGAGACUCUGUAUGGCAGGAAAUGCAGGACUCCUCUAUAUUGGGAUAAGACUAGAGGAAGACAAUUCUUUGGACCUGAACUUAUUCAAGAGGUAGAAGAUCAAGUCUGUAUAAUCAAGGAGAACUUGAGGGUAGCUCAGACCAGGCAAAAGAGUUACGCUGAUAAUAGAAGAAGACCACUAGAAUUUGAGGAAGGUGAUCAUGUGUACCUCAAGGUGUCACCACUUCGUGGAAUGAGGAGAUUCAAAAUUAAGGGAAAAUUGUCCCCUCACUUUAUUGGACCCUUUAGAGGUUUUAGGCAAGUUGGAGAGAUGGCCUAUCAACUCGAGCGGCCUGAUAAUCUAUCUGAUGUGCAUGAUGUAUUCCUUGUGUCUCAACUUAAGAAGUGUCUCCGUGUCCCUGAGGAACAGUUACCAAUGGAAGAGCUCAGUGUUCAUGGUGGUUUGACUUACACGGAGUACCCUAUCAAGAUUCUUGACACUUUGGCUCGAGUUACAAGAAAUAAGGUUAUAAAGAUGUACAAUGUACAAUGGAGUCACCAUGGAGAAGAUGAAGCAACAUAGGAAAGAGAAGAAGAGCAUCACACAUAUUUUCUCCAUUUUUCCCUAGUCCUUUCUAAAUCUCGAGGACGAGAUUCUUGUUAAGAGGGGUAGGAUUUGUAAUACCCAAAAGUAUAUAAUGAAAAUAUAGUGGAAUUACAUAUAUGUUUUUGCCCUGGUUAUUAUGACAUGUGAACAACAUAUUUAAAAGUGGACAACUAAAUAAAAGACACAUAAAUAACUCAUGCAUCAUGCUGGAGUUUAUUUUAUUGCGCAUCUAUAAAUAAUAAAAAUUAUAAUAUCAAAAACAAUACAUUGAUAUACAAACUAGAAUUUAAAACCUAAAUGGGGGGCAAAACUUUGGAGAAAGAGAAGAGAAUACCGCAUAAAAUAAAGGAUAUAUAUAUAUAUUCUUCUUAUCAUAAGAUUUGAAUUUUGUACGUUGAUAUACGUGCAAGUCACAACCAAAUUUAAAUUCGAAAUUCAAAAUCUAAAAUGAAAAAAUAAUAAAAAAAGAAAGAAGAAAGAACCUAAAUGGGCCCAAACCUUCCCCUUGGCCCACCGGCUCCUCGCGUCCACCAAGCCGUCGGGCUGCGCACAAAUAGCGGGACCGUUGCAACCACCGUGGCUUCCCUGGGAUAUUUACGCAGUGCGCCCAACGAUUCUUCCCCUCUCCUUUAUGUCGUGAUCUCAAAGCAAAUUGCGGGGUCCCUAGCUGCCGCCGUGUGCAUCUGCGUCGUGAGGAGAGAGAGGGUAAGGGAUAGAAAAUCUAUGUCACCGUUGUGGUUCUGCUCGUUCGCCGUCGCCAUAACAGUAACUCCCGGCCGCUAGUGGUCCCUGGAUCCUCCGCGAGCUGCCUCUGCCACACGUCAACUACGAUAAUGCGGUCGCCAUGGCGCGCCCGCGCCACCGUCUCCACGGCUGUUUCCAAUCUGCUCGACCGAUUGGUAGACGGCUGGGGGAGCAUCUUCUCCGGGGGACACCGCGCGUCGUGGAGCCUUGCCGAAGUUCAGGGACGUCUGGGGAUGGCGUAAUUGCUUGUCGUGGUUUAUGCAUCGCCGCGGGGUUGCUGGGAUUGGUGGUCUUCGCACUCCAACGCAUCAACCGCAGGUAUUGCUCUAUCCAUCUAGUUCGCACUCGACUCUAGAUCGUGUAGCACCUGAGUUUGUGGAGUCUGGGGCAUGGAAACAACGUUGGGGCGUGGGCCGGUGUGACCUCAGCCGCGGGCGAUGGCCGUCCGUCGUGGCUGGCUGUCGGAGGGUAGAAGGAGAGUCCUUGGCGGUCGGUUUCUUGAUGGACGGCUCGGAUUCAACCAGAGCCAUACCGGUUGGGUGGAUAAUUCGCAGCCCCUGGAUCGUGAUCCUGCGGCUCGGGAUGGAAUCGCUCGUGAUUAAGUGCCCACCGUUGAUCUUUGAUCUUGUGGACUGGAAUGCGUACCGGUUCAAUUGGGGUGGGGAUCUAAUCUGGACCAUCUGGGUCAGAUCUUAUGGCCCUGUGUAACCCAUACCCCUUCGGCCUGUGUUUUUAUAAAACGAACCCUAGAAAACCUAGGAAUCAACAUGUCUUUCAAUGCAGCAGCCCUCUGUGUCUGUGGAAUCUUGCGCCAGACCCCCUGCACUUUCCAGAAAUCGAGGCCCAGUCCAGAGUGGAUUAAAAAUAGUGAAAUAAUAUUUGAAAUUCGUUUUUAAUACAAAAACAAAUCUAGAAACUUGUAAAAUGCAUAAAAAAUUCAUUUUAGCUCCAAAUUGAACCAUUCCAAUUCCUAUAAUUUUGUAAUAUUAAUGUCUAUCAUUUAGUGUCUCUGUUUUUACAUGAAAACAGUAAGAAAAUUAAUUUCUCAUUUAAUCCUAUUUCAAGCACAUUAAACCUUAGGAAAUUCAUAACUUGAAAUGUAUAACUCCAAAUUUAAUGAUUCCAGUUCCUAUGAUCUCAUUUUAAUGUGUAGAUUUUUAUUGUAUAUUUUAUUUCUCUGUUUGAUGUGAUGUUAAUUUAUGCUAUACUAUAUAUGUAUUGUGUUGAUGCGAGUAGACGAGCAAGCCACUGUGGAAUCUGAGGUUCAGCAAGUAGAAGUAGCUGAGCAGGAGCUCAUUGAAGGCAAGUUGUGCCCUUGAUUACUUACUUUUUCCCAGCCAUGUUCUUAUUAAUUAUAAUGAUCUGCAUAGGUUAAUUUUGAUGGGACCCAAUAGGUUACCCUAGAUUUGACUAUCUUUAUACCUUAUUUCACCACUGGUUUUACUACUAAAUUUUUGGGUAGUACAUGUUAUUGCUUUAUGUGGUUUUGGGUAUAGAGAUAUUUAUUACUCAUGAUUACAUUUUUAUUAUUUGUUUAUUAUUACUGUUCAUGUUAAGAUCAUUAUGUUAAUGGGAACAUGGAGCGACCACCCGGGAAAACAGUGCUACCACAAGGGUUUAAUGGGACGCCCUUGGCUGAUUAACUAGGAAAGCUAGGGGAGGUCUUCCUUACCCGAAAGGGGCAAGGGCAGUAGGGGAGUGGUCAGUGUAGGGAGGUCCUUGGGUUGAUUUUGCUGCGAUGGCGGUCAGGCGAGGGAUUCCUGCACUGGAGCUUCCUAUAAACUUUAGCGGGAUUUCUAAAGCUAGUGGAACUUUGUAAAGGCCUCGUAGUGUUACCCUGCCUCGCCUCCUCGGUAGAGGUGUAUGGGAUUGGCCGUCUCUUGGCAAAUGGGUAACAUGACUUGUGGGUAAAGAUGUGCAACCUCUGCAGAGUGUAAAACUAGUAUACUAGCUGUGCUCACGGUCAUGAGCGGCUCGGACCCUCACAUGAUUAAUUUAUGGAACUUAAAUUUAAUUUAACAUUUUGCAUCGCAUUUGUUAUUAUUUUACUAUUACUUUUCUUUAUUAUUAUUAAGGUUUGGUAUUUACUUACACUUAGUAAUUGCUAAUAAAAUUUUGACCAACUUAUAAAAGCAAUGCUCAGCUUCAGCCUUUAUUUCAUUGAUCAGCCUUACACUUCAUGAACUCCCACCUUUGGUGAGUUCAUGCCACAUUAUUCCCCAUGACUUGUUGAGCUAUGAACGUAUGUGAGCUCACUCUUGCUGUCUCACACCCCCCACAGGAGAAGAACAGGUGGUCGAAGAUGAGUCGCCUAACACUGAUGCAUUCGACUUGAUCUAGGUGGCGUCUCCCAGUCAGCUUUCUGGCGCCAAGGAUAGAUUUUAGUUCCUGCUAUAUUUAUCAUUUAUUUUUGUAAGUCUUCCGCUAUGUAAUAAGUACUCUAAUUUUACUGUGACAUUUAUCUCUAUGCACUCUGUUAUUAUAUAUGUUGUCUUCUUUGGCGCAUGUAUGAGAUGCACCCGGAUUUGUCCCUUAAAUCCGGAUGUGACACAAACUUAGGAGUGUAUACUAAAUAUCUCAUGAUUCUUUUCACAGCCCUAAGGUGAACUUCCUUAGGAUCGGCUUGGAACCUUGCACACAUGCAUACGGAAAGCAUAAUAUCCGGUCAAGAUGCACAUAAAUACAGUAAAGAUCCUAUCAUCGACCGGUAUACCUUUUGAUCUACGGAUUUACCUCCCGUGUCGAGGUCGAGAUGCCCAUUGGUUCCCAUGGUUGUCUUGAUGGGUUUGCCGUCCUUAAUCCCAAACUUCUUAAGUAUAUCUUGAAUGUACUUUGUUUGACAGAUGAAGGUGCCUUCUUGGAGUUGCUUGAUUUGAAAUCUAAGGAAAUACUUCAACUCCCCCAUCAUCGACAUCUCUAAUUUCUGUACCAUGAUCCUACUAAACUCUUCACAAGUAGAUUUGUUAGUAGACCCAAAUACGAUAUCAUCAACAUAAAUUUGGUAUACAAACAAAUCUUUUGCAACAGUUUUAGUAAAGAGUGUAGGAUUGGCUUUACCGACUUUGAAGCCAUUAGUGAUAAGGAAAUCUCGCAGGCAUUCAUACCAUGCUCUUGGGGCUUGCUUGAGCCCAUAAAGCGCCUUUGAUAGUUUGUAGACAUGGUUAGGGUACUCACUAUCUUCAAAGCCAGGAGGUUGCUCAACAUAGACCUCUUCCUUGAUUGGUCCAUUGAGGAAUGCACUUUUCACGUCCAUUUGAUAAAGCUUAAAGCCAUGGUAAGUAGCAUAGGCAAGUAAUAUGCGAAUUGACUCAAGCCUAGCUACGGGUGCAUAAGUUUCAUCAAAAUCCAAACCUUCGACUUGUGAAUAACCUUUGGCCACAAGUCGGGCUUUGUUCCUUGUCACCACACCAUGCUCAACUUGCUUUUUGCGGAAUACCCAUUUGGUACCUACAACAUUUUGAUUAGGACGUGGAACUAAGUGUCAUACCUCAUUCCUCGUGAAGUUGUUGAGUUCCUCUUGCAUUGCCAGCACCCAAUCUGGAUCUCUUAGUGCAUCCUCAAUCCUGUAUGGCUCAAUAGAGGACACAAAAGAGUAAUGUUCACAGAAAUGAGCAACUCGAGAUCUAGUAGUUACCCCCUUAUGGAUGUCACCAAGUAUGGAGUUGACGGGGUGAUCUCGUUGAAUUGCUUGGUGGACUCUUGGGUGUGGCGGUCUUUGACCCUGAUCAUCUUCCUUGUCUUGAUUAGUAUCAUCUCCCCUUGAUCAUUGUCCUCCUCUUGAGGUGGCUCAUCCUCUUGAUCUUCUUCUUCAUCAUUUUGAGCAUGUUCCUCAUCUUGAGUUGGUGGAGAUGCUUCCAUGGAAGACGAUGGUUGAUCUUGUGCUUGUGGAGGCUCUUCGGAUUCCUUAGGACACACAUCCCCAAUGGACAUGUUCCUUAGCGCGACGCACGGAGCCUCUUCAUCAUCUAGUUCAUCAAGAUCAACUUGCUCCACUUGGGAGCCAUUAGUCUCAUCAAACACAAUGUCACAAGAAACUUCAACUAAUCCAGUGAAUUUGUUGAAGACUCUAUAUGCCCUUGUGUUUGAGUCAUAUCCUAGUAAAAAGCCUUCUACAGCCUUAGGAGCAAAUUUAUAUUUUCUACCUCUUUUAAUAAGAAUAAAACAUUUGCUACCAAAGGCUCUAAAAUAUGAAACAUUGGGCUUUUUACCGGUGAGGAGUUCAUAUGAUGUCUUCUUGAGGAUUCGGUGAAGGUAGAGCCGGUUGAUGGAAUAGCAGGCGGUGUUAAUCGCCUCAGCCCAAAACCGGUUCAGAGUCUUGUACUCAUCAAGCAUGGUUCUUGCCAUGUCCAGUAAAGUUCUAUUCUUCCUCUCCACUACACCAUUUUGUUGAGGUGUAUAGGGAGAAGAGAACUCAUGCUUGAUGCCCUCAUCCUCAAGGAAGCCUUCGAUUUGUGAGUUCUUGAACUCCAUCCCAUUAUCGCUUCUUAUUUUCUUGAUCCUUAAUCCGAACUCAUUUUGAGCCCGUCUUAAGAAUCCCUUUAAGGUCUCUUGGGUUUGUGAUUUUUCCUGCAAAAAGAAUACCCAAGUGAAGCAAGAAUAGUCAUCCAUAAUUACAAGACAAUACUUACUCCCGUUGAUGCUUAUGUAAGCGAUCAGGCCAAAUAAAUCCAUGUGGAGUAGCUUAAGCGGCAUGUCGGUCGUCAUGAUGUUCUUGUGUGGAUGAUGGGCGCCAACUUGCUUUCCUGCUUGACAUGCGCUACAAACCCUGUAUUUCUCAAAAUGAACAUUUGUUAGUCCUAAAAUAUGCUCUCCCUUUAGAAGCUUGUGAAGAUUCUUCAUUCCAACAUGGGCUAGUCGGCGAUGCCAGAGCCAACCCAUAUUAGUCUUAGCAAUUAAACAAGUGUUGAGUUCAGCUGUGUUCUCAUUAAAAUCAACUAAAUAUAGCUAACCCUCUAACACUCCCUUAAAUGCUAUUGAAUCAUCACUUCUUCUAAAGAUAGUAACACCUAUAUCAGUAAAAAGACAAUUGUAGCCCAUUUUACAUAAUUGAGAUACAGAAAGCAAGUUGUAAUCUAAAAAAUCUACAAGAAAAAUGUUGGAAAUAGAAUGGUCAGGUGAUAUAGCAAUUUUACCCAAACCUUUGACCAAUCCUUGAUUUCCAUCCCUGAAUGUGAUAGCUCGUUGGGGAUCUUCAUUUUUCUCGUAGGAGGAGAACAUUCCUUUCUCCCUUGUUGUGUGGUUUGUGUAUCCGCUAUCAAUUAUCCAACUUGAGCCCCCAGAUGCAUAAACCUGCAAAACAAUUUAGGCCUUGUUCUUAGGUACCCAAACAGUCUUGGAUCCUUUCACGUUAGAAACAAGCACCUUGGGUACCCAAACACAAGUCUUGGAGCCCUUGUGUUUGCCUCCAACAUAUUUGGCAACUAUUUUGCCUGAUUUGUUAGUGAGCACAUAAGAAGCAUCAAAAGUUUUGAAUGAAAUAUUAUGAUCAUUUGAUGCAGUAGGAGUUUUCUUUUUAGGUAAUUUAACAUGAGUUGAUUGCCUAGAGCUAGAAGCCUCAUUCUUAUACAUAAAAGCAUGAUGUAAAACAGUAUGAGGUUUCCUAGCAUGAAUCCUCCUAAUUUUGUGCUCACGAUAAUUAGAAGGAUAUAAAAUAUAGCCCUCAUUAUUAUCCUGAACCAUGGGAGCUUUGCCCUUAACAAAGUUAGACAAUUUCUUAGGGGCAUUAAGCUUGACAUUGCUUCCUUGUUGGAAACCAAUGCCAUCCUUAAUGUCAGGGCAUCUCCCAUUAUAGAGCAUGCUUCUAGCAAAUUUAAACUUUUUAUUUUCUAUUUCAUGCUCAUUGAUUUUAGCUGUUAAUUGAGCUAUAUGAUCAUUUUGUUGUUUAAUUAAAGCAAGGUGAUCAUUUAUAGCAUCAAUAUUAACAUCUCUACAUCUAGUGCAAAUAGAAACAUGAUCAACAGUGGAUGUAGAGGGUUUGCAAACAUUUAAUUCUUCUAUCUUAGCAAGUAAUAUGGCAUUCUCAUUUCUAAGACAGGAAAUAGAAUAAUUGCAAACAUUUAACUCUCUAGCCUUGGAAAUUAAACUAGCAUUUUCGGUCCUAAGGCUAGAAAUUGAUUCAUUCAAUUUAUCAACCUUAGCAUUUAAACUAGCAUUUUUAUUUCUAAGAUUGAUAAUUGAAUCAUGGCAAAUGCUAAGCUCCUUAGUCAAGUUUUCACAUUUUUCUACUUCCUGAGCAUAAGCAUUUUUUACUUUAAUAUGCUUUUUGUUUUCUUUAAUAAGGAAUUCCUCUUGGCUGUCCAAGAGUUCAUCCUUCUCAUGAAUGGCACCUAUCAAUUCAUUUAAUUUUUCUUUUUGUUGCAUGUUAAGGUUGGCAAAAAGAGUAAGCAAAUCAUCUUCAUCUUCACUAGAACUACCCUCAUCACUAGAUGUAGUAUACUUGGGGGUGGUUCUAGAUUGUACCUUCUUCUUUUUGUCGUCCUUUGCCAUGAAGCACUUAUGGCCGACGUUGGGAAAGAGGAGGCCUUUGUUGACGGCGAUGUUGGCGGCAUCCUCGUCGGAGGAGGAGUCAGUGGAGCUCUCAUCGGAGUCCCAUUCCCGACAUACGUGGGCAUCACCGCCCUUCUUCUUGUAGUAUCUCUUCUUCUCCUUCUUCCCCCUCUUGUCGUCGCCCUGUCACUAUCACUAGACAUAGGACAUUUAGCAAUAAAAUGACCGGGCUUACCACAUUUGUAGCACACCCUCUUGGAGCGGGGUUUGUAGUCCUUCCCCCUCCUUUGCUUGAGGAUUUGGCGAAAGCUCUUGAUGAUGAGCGCCAUCUCCUCGUUGUCGAGCUUGGAGGCGUCGAUGGGGAGCCUAAUUGAUAUAGACUCUUCUUUCUUUUCUUCCGUCACUUUGAAUGCGACGGGUUGCACCUCGGGUGUUGAGGUGCACUAGUAAGAAUGUGAUCAUCAGUGACGAUUUUCUCGUGACGCUCGUGACUUUAGUCACAGAUUGAUACAUUUCUUUGACCAAAUUUACAUCUUCGUCAACAAUUACAAGUGACGAAGAUUAGACUUGAAUAUUAAUGACGAAAAUGAAAGGAUCGUCAUAGACACAAAUUUUGGACGCAACAAUUUCGUCACAGAUUAGAUUUGAUAUCGUCAUCGCUAAUUUGCCAUGUUUGGCUGACGUAAUGAUGAAAUAAAUUGGUCACAGAUGAGUUUUAGUAAAAAACGCCCCACGUGUACAGCACUUGACGGCGUGGGAUCCUUGGCCUACAUGGGCCGCAUUUUUUUGGUAAAGUGGGACACAGCCCCUGCCUGGCGACGCGGCCUCGGGCCACCAACUGGAAGUGGCGACGCGCGGCCCGACGACGCGUGUGCUAAGAUUUAUUUGGCAAAAAAAUUGCUCCCGCGGAGCUUCGAACUAGAGACUUGCGCCUUGCUUCGAAUCAGUGUUACCACUAGACUACUCGCUUGUUCUUAUAAAUAAAGAAAGUUAGAGUGCAUAAGUUGGUCAAUUGGGCCUAAUCAGAACAGAAUCAUUAGCGUAGUACCUGUUCCCAUCUGUCGUUCUAUUAAGGUGUUCCUAGCCGCCAUUCUGCGAUCUGCAUGGCUGUUCUGCUUCUGCCUUCUGCGAUCUGCGCUUCUACGUUAUAUGAUUGACGAUCUCAGUCUCGACCCUUAGGUUACGGCACACAACGACGCCGGUGUCGGUCGUCCGCUUGAUCGGCAACUGGGUAGCGUCGCAGCGAACGAGCGAUCUUGUCGCCUGAUCCAUUGAUGCAUUGAGUAAGUCCAUAAGUUUUGAUAGAUUAAUAAUUCAUCCAUUCAUCAAGAUGCAAAUUAAAUAAUUAUCUUUCAAGAUGCAAAUAGUAUGGUAAUUAUCUUUCAAUCACUGUUUCUUGCAAAUUUCAUAUUUCAUAUGUUUGGGCUCUAUUGUAAUCUAGUUUAAAAUUUUCAGUUAAUUAUUAAGUUUUAUGAUGCAUACCCUCCAAAAUCCUAGGUCCGCGGCAAAGCAGCGGCGUCGUGCGCAGAGCUACGGCGGGUGUGGACAGAACAGCGGCAGGGCGGGGAGAAAAGCCAGGGCGGGGAGAAAUGUUAUGAUCAUUUGAUGCAACAGGAGAUUUCUUUUGAACCCUAACUUAGAUCUUUUUAUUGGUUUGUGUUGAACCUUUAGCACCUGUAGGAUAUAUAAUCUAGAGCAAACUAGUUAGUCUAAUUAUUUGUGUUGGGCAUUUCAACUACCAAAAUCAUUUAGGAAAAGGUUUGACCCUAUUUCCCUUUCACAUACAGUGAUGUUGCAGGCACUCACGAGGUUGCUAACGAGAGGUAGGCCCCAAGAGAGACAAAUCUUGAUGUGAUCCUUCACUAGCACAUGUAACUCCAUUAAAUAAAUUGGUUAACCAAAACUAGAUUAAAAAUUGAACUACUAUCUAAAUAUUAGGAACUACUAUCUAAUCCAUAACCAGAACCUUUCUACUCUCUCAUUCUAUUUUUAUUUCUCUGUCCCAGUGACUAUCCAAACGUCACCAAAAUCGAUAUAGCCCAUGUCCCAUAGCAAGCAAAAAAAGCCCAACCUAACCACACAUUCCAUCCAACAGAUCGUGCGCGGCCUCUCAUUCUACCGAGUGCUCCAUUCUACCACCAGCCGCCUCCACUCGCUCUCCCACACAGAAAACCCUAGCCGCCGCCACCGAAGCGCCCUCCCAGGUAAGCUGGAGCGUCCAUCCCACCGCCGCCAUGAAGCACAAUCCCCGCGUCACAAGCUCCCGCCUGAAGUGCCGCAAGGCGCACUCACGGCCCCGUCCUCCGUCCGCUGCGUUCUCAUGUCCGCCGGGCUGUCGACGGAGCUCCGCCACAAGUACAACGUGUGCUCCAUCCCGAUCCGCAAGGACGACGAGGUGCAGGUCGUGCGCGGCACCUACAAGGGCCAUGAGGGGAAGAUGGUGCAGGUGUACCGCCGCCGCUGGGUCAUCCACGUCGAGCGGAUCACCCGCGAGAAGGUGAACGGCUCUGUGCCUGGAUGAGCGAUCAUCCAAGAGAUCGACUAGGCUCUUCACGGUCAUCUGAUGGUUGCGUACCGCCUUUUCCUCAUCUCUUUAGUUUUUGCUACCAAUGAUUAUGUGAUAGAGGUUUUAUGUUAUUUGAAAACUGCUCUAUGCCUGGAUGAGAGUUUUGGAACAUAAUGUGAACCUGUGUGUCUGUUAUCUGAGCUUUGAAGAUCUGAAUAUGUGGUUAAUGUCUCCUUGUAGUAUCUUCUAAAUGAUUGCUGUGAUUUGUCUUCACUCUAUUGUCUGUCUGAUGCAUGUAGUGCUUUUUGCUAAUUUUAUAUUACAGUCUAUUAAAUUAGCUUGAAUUAUUGUUUGUAGGAUGUAUUUCGAAUUAUCUACCUGUGGGGAAACAAUUUAUAUUAAUUGUCGAUCUAGUUAUUCUGAACGUUUUAAAUUUUCACAGCGAAUUUGAUCUGAGCAAAUUCUAUUGCAUUAUACUACUACCAACUGACAGUCUUCUGGAAAGGAACAUGAUAUCAGAGAUCAUUUGUGCCUAAAUCUCUGCAUUUUUACCUCUCCAAAGCAAAUGCCAACUGCAAUCAGUUUCUGUCAGUGUAGCAUUGGUUAUUAUUUCAUUAUAAACACCUUGUGUUAUAUGUCUUUCUCAAAUUAUUGCAAUAACUAACAAUUGGCAUCUUGUUGUUGCUUAUUAGCAUUAAUAUGUAACUGUUUCUGUCCAUGAUAUUUCAGUCUCAUAUGGAGGCUUUGAGGGCUGAACCUGUUGCUGAAGGUGAGAUGCCAGCAUCCAGUGUGCGCCUUGUGUCCAAGGUGCUGUGCUAGAGCAGCUCACACCAAUUCCUAAAGAGCAUUGGCAUCAAAACAUCGGCAUCCUCCAAGUCAGCAUCAUCAAAUCAAAGUGAGCUUCGGGAACAACUUGCAGCUGAAGCGACGGCUGCUGUUCAAGGUGAACUUGACCAGCUCAGGAAGAAAUGUGAAGUCAAGUGGUGAUGCUGUGAACUGAGUUUAGUGUUGUCCACUUAGUUUGUAUGCUCACUGGAAUAGUAGUUUUAUUCAUCUACGGAAUAUGGAAUUGUGUGCUCAUUAGUAUCUUUGCAAUUUCCAAUAAAAAUAUUCUCUGCACAUCUGUGACCAAACUGGUGGCAUAUAAUAAAACAUAUGCCACGUCAGCGUGGACGUCAGCUGCCACGUCACUAGCCACCUCAGCGCUGACGUCAUACGCCAUCGGGACCCUUCCAAACUGCUGUUAAUGACCAAAACACGACUCUAUCUAUGACGAUACCGUACCGUCAUAGAAAGCAAACGACGUUAACGACUCCAUCAGCUUGCCUGGGCAGACGACGGAUUAUGACAGAAAAGUGCCUUCCUCCAUGACCAAACCUGAUCGUCAUAGAAUGAAAUCACUUCCAUGACAACGCGUAUUUCGUCACAGAAUGGAUACACAUCGAUGACGAAAAUGGGUAGUCCGUCACAACACAACAAAUGUGACACGACCCCUAUGACCAAAUCAGAAUCGUCACAAAUUCGUCACAAAUCUUUAUCUGUGACGAUACCUGCAUAUUUCGUGACGCAAUACGAACGUCAUCGAUGAUAAGAUCUCUACUAGUGGUGGCGCCUUGCUCCAAAUUGACAAUGUGUUUGGAGUCUUUGAUCAUAAGUUCAAAGCUCACAAACUUGCCAAUUACUUCCUCGGGAGACAUCUGUUUAUAUCUAGGGUCUCCACGGAUUAGUUGCACUUGAGUGGGAUUACAAAAAACAAGUGAUCUAAGAAUAACCUUGACCAUUUCUGUGACACCCCAGUGUCACCUAGGGUUUCUCUCAAAAUGCUAACCCAAGAACCAUCAUUUUAUGUGAACCAAAUUGAGCAUGAGCAUCAAAUUGACUUAAGAGUGAAGAACCCACCAAGCCUAUACUUAAAAGUAUCAUGAUCAAAACAAAUGGGUCUUUCAAAAAGGGUAAUAAUGUUGCAACCCUAAUAAAAACCCUAAGUGAGCCCUAUGAGCAAAAUUCAAGAAAAUGGGGAAAAGGGUAUGAAAUAUUUAAAAUCAUGGCUUGGGCCAAUUAUAAACAUUGAAGUAUAUUCAUUAAGCAACAAGAAAGAUUGAGGAAGCUUGGCCAAAAUAACUCAAUUAAAACCCCAAAACAAGCUUCUCAUGUGGGGACUCAAUGGGGAAUUCUGAAUUUCAGAAUUCUGAAUUUCAGACCUUGAGCCAAAGAUCAAGUGUGUUCACCUUGAUCCCUAACUCAAAUCCUAAUGGCCCCAUUAACAAAAAUGUGCCUAACUAACCCCUCUAUCGUGUGCCAGAAGAUGGCAUUGGGACGCGAGCCCUAGACACGACAAAACCCUGGAUUUGCCUCGGGUUUGAGCAGGGAGACAGACCGGAUUUUCGGGCUCCAUAUCUCUGCAACCAGUAGGCAAAAUCCUAUGACCCCCACACAAGAUCGGUAGCUUGUAGGGAGGAGAAGAGGUUUUGUGCACUGACCAAGGCGAGAGCAGGCUUGGAUGAGCGACCACACGCGCCAGAACUAGGGCAGAACGAACGGGCACACGUGUUCGACCAUGGUCGGCACGCCGGCGCUCGCCCAACCCGCGCGCGCGCUCGCCCCGGUGUUCGGUCAAGUCCGCCGCGCGCCCUUGCCCUCGGUCGUGCCCGCCCGCGCCUAUAAAGCCUCCCCGGGCGCGCCUCACUUUACCCCGCGCUCACCAUCACCGGCCAACCACCCCUCCUUAGCUCCGACGAGCUCUUUUCCGCCCGCCACUGCCGCCAGAGCCUCGGCCACCGUGGCCAGCCCACUCCAGCCACCCCCAAGUCGCGCCAGUGCUUCGGCUAGGUCCGCCAGUGGCCCGUGAAGCUUUCCAAGCCCUCGGACCCGGCAGAACUUCACCGGAAGCCCGAAAUCGACUUCACCAGACUUCGGUCGCCUGCCUGUGCGCGUGGACCAAGCUCUCCGGUGAGCCAUUCUUCAAUUCCUCGCACACACCCCUUCCUUGUUCCCUAGUGAAGCUCUCUGACCCGUUCAAUUGAACUAUCGCGCCGUGAGUAGGCCGGACUCCUCGCCGCCGACGAGCAUCUCCGCCUGCGCACGUGGACCGACCGACUCCGACCACCCCCGACGGCGACCCGCACAUCGCUGUGAUCCCCGAGACCUCCCCUACAUCCUCGACCACCUCACCGGAGCAAUCUCGCCGCCGGUAAGCCCCUCCGCACUUUCUUCCGCCGCGGUUACUGUUUAAGUUAGGAGAAGGACCUCGGGUUAGGAGUAGAAGAACCCGGGGGGUUUUCUGCAAUGUCAGUGACUCAUUUGAAUAGUAGCCCAGGGACUGAUCCGUGAGGAAAACUUAAAACACCCGCCAGGGACCCCAGUGCAAAGUAGUUUUCCAUUUAAUCAAUUCUGUUAAUCUUUUUAAAUAACAUGAGAACUUAGAAAAUCCAUAACUUGAUGAAUUCUUAAUCAAAAGUUGUCAAACUAAUUUUGCUAGGUCCUCAAUAUUAUGAACUAUCAUUUAAAAAUAAUAAACCCUAUGCUUUCUGUUCUAAUUUUUAGAGUUUAAAAUUAAAAACAGAAACUGACCAAACCUUGUUUAAUUAAGGAAAAUUAGUUUUUCUUCUGUACUGAGCCUAAGAAAAAUUGUAGGUGUUCAAACCUCAUUUAGACACUGUUUAAAAAUAGUGGGAACCCCAGUAUUGAAGAAUAUAGUGUAGAUAUUCAUUUAAAGUUGUUUUGCCCAAAACUUAGGAAAAAUCAGAAAGGCAUUAUAAAUUAAUGAACAGUGAGUGAAAUUAUUUUUCUUAGUUUGCUUAAGUAACAGAAAACCUAGGAAAAAUAAAGAGACCUUCAGUCCAGAUCAGUUUUAAAAUAAAAUGUUUUAUUUAGCAUUAUUCCAACUGGAAAUUAAUUAUUAGAAUUACAAAACCAGACCCAAAAUUUAUAAUAAAAAUCCAGUGGACUUAAAACCACCAGAACCCCACUGCAAAAAUAAUGAACAUCUCAACCCAACAUUUUAAGUAGGGUAAAUAAAUCUAACAUGAUAAUAAGGCAUUUUCCAAAUAAAUCAUGAAUAACCCAUAAUAAUGCAAUAAUGGGCAACCAAAAUUUUGCUAAGUCAAUGAUGAUAUAAGCCACCAGAGAAAAAUGCAGAUCCAUUAAAAAGAUACAAAAUAAUACCUAUUGCUAAUAUUUUAUAAGAAAGACCAUUUAAACCAAGUAAUGCAUACCACCCCUUCCCUUAAGCAAAAAGAUGCCAAACUUCAAAAUGAUUGCUCUUGCGCAAAAUAGAAGCUAAGAAAAAUCAGAAAUCGGUUGUUUGAUAUUUUUCAAAUAUAGUGGUAGUAGAAAGCACCUCUUUGGCUAGAAACUUGAGAAAACCCUAGUAAAAUAACUAAUAGGUAUUAAUGGCUAAAUUUUUGUGCCAAGUCAUGUUAUAGCACCUAAAAGCCAGCAAAAAUAAGUUUAAGAGAAUUACCUACUGUUAACUAAUAGUUGUAGUUCAAAGCACCCCUUCUGCCCUAGAACUUGGUAAUUUUGUCCAGAGAAAACUAUUCACUUUCUAAUCCCUAAAUUUUGAGACAGAGAAUUAUACACCAAUAAAAAGCCACUGUAAUUUUUGCAGAAGUUUUGGAAUUUUAUUAAGGCAACUUGUAGUUCAAACCCACUCCAAAAACUUAAGGAGAAUAAAGAAAAAGAAAGAAGAAAUAAACCUCGCUCCAAUGAGUCCAACUUGAAUUCAUGUCAAAACUCACUAUGGCUUUAAAAGAAUUCAGUGGAACCCCAAAAACAAACCUACCACUUACCUUAGCUAAGUUUGACCCAAUUUACCAAAAAUGCCACCCAAAGGUCUUACAUAAGUAAGGUGUAACUCUAUCUAACGCAAGUAGAUCAUGAAGUUGUAAUUUCUAAAGCACAUAUCAUGUCAUGCAUCUAUCUUACGCAUUGCAUUCAUUAGAUUGUAAUCUUGCCGACGGAGAGUACGUGCUCAUCCCUGAGCAAGGAUCUGUCCAAGAGGAGGACCAGGAGCAAGCUUCCGAGGCUGCUGUUGAGGAUCUCCCCGCAGCCCCAGCAAUUGAAGGCAAGCCCCAGUUUAUAUGCAUAACCAUAUUACUAUAUGCUACUUUACUACACUUAAUGCUUGUAGGAUUGUAAUGUGCACUUAAGUGUAGGAGUUGCUUGAAACCUCUAGUUGCAUGAACUUAGGAUUCCUUUUUGAGAUGAAUACUAGUAUGCUAGGUCGAGUAGCUGCUUUGCUAAUCAGGAUCUCGGUAGAAGUCGAGUGAUUUUUCUAGCACUCGUGCGAGGUCAGGAAUUGAUUGUAUUCAUCUUGAUAACGGGAUCUAUGUUAGUCUAUGGACUUGGGUCCAGGGAGGAUGCCUUGUCCAUGAGACGGGAAAAAGGAAUUAAGGAUUAAUGUGUGGAUACCUGAGUCAAGCUUUUGAACGUACUAAGCACAUGCCGGGAAAAAUGGUAACCAGUAAACCUAGUACCUGAGUGAAGCCGGGCGCGGACUUUAUCCCUCAUGCGACCUGAGACUGGGUCUCCCAUGCUAGCUAUGGUGGGUACAAGUGCGGUCACUGCACGGCUGCAGCCGGGGUCAGUGGAGCAUUGUAUGCCAAGGCGGUGAGGCCUGGACGCGAACGAGGAAUCGAUGGGGACGGUUGUCAUGUGUGGGGUCGGAGUACCCUGACAUGUCGUGUGUUUAGGUUUACCUUGCAAGGUUAAAACUCGAUUCGAAUCGUCUGCUUCUCGCAGCUAAUGAGACUGCUUGACCCCUUGUACUGCAUCGAGUAAGAAAUGAAAUGAGGUUACAUGAGAUAAUUUGUUGAUUGAACUAAAUGCUUGUUACCAUGUAUGCUUAGAAGGAGUAAACUUAGCUAAGUUAAUGAUGAUAGAAUUUGAAAAGCUAAAAAUUGAUUUUAGAAAUAGCUAGUGCUUUUGGCAAACCAAACCCCUCAACCAAACCGCUGCAUAGUCUAGAGGUAGAGGAGUAGACUCCUCACACCGGUUAAGUCUAGCUGAGUAUUAGUAUACUCAGCCUUGCUUGUGGCAUAAUUUUUGCAGGUACCAUUCAGGAAAUGGUUGAUGGUGUGACUUGGCCUACCACCCUGCCACCGGGUUGGACGGUCGAGUGGGAUGUUGCUCCGGCAGGAGAGGAGCACGAGGAGUAGUGGGCUAGGCCUUGCCCAUUUCCUCGAUACCGACGACAUCGAUUAUCCGCUGCAUUUUAUUUUGUGAACUCUUAUUUGCUACUCAAAAACUCCGAUCUAUGUAAUAAUUCAGCACUUAAUUUGAGGUUUCCUGUUUUAUUGUAUUUCUUCUGUGACUCACCUUCGAGUGAGAUUGUGGAAUUUGAUCCUGGUUAAGUGGCUCUAUCGGACUAUAUCUGAGGGACUGAUGGGUUAUUCCGAUUUAAGUGUGUUACGGCCCCUAAGGCGUGACUUAGGCACUUAAGCUGGAAUAAUUCAGGUGGUUCUGCCACAGCUGGUAUCGGAGCAAAUUCCACCACAGAGAAGGACAAUAAACCAUGAAUACCAAUUUUCAAAAUCUAAAACUUGCCUAGAAACUGCUACGAAUCGUCAGGACUAGACCGCUAGACCUAGGACGAAAGGCCUUAGGCAUAGAGGGAGAAAUAGGUGGCUAAUUAGUUAGGCCCCGUGGGCUAGUACUUCGACUUUUAAGGAUGCCCUAAGAGCACCCUAUUGUUUGGAGAGGAGACAUUACUUCCAGCAUGCAUGCAUUAUAAACACAAAGAGGAAUUAAAACUUGAGCUAACCCACUUCCUUUAAAAAAAGUCCGGGCUCUCUUUUUCUUUUUCCUUCCACCAUAAUCUUUACCUUUGAUUCCCUUCCGCAGAUGAAUUCACCCACCCCCGCCAGUGGAGGAGACACUCGUUUCAGUUCUGACUUCCUUUCUCACGAUGGCUUUCCUUCCAUCUUGUGGGAAGUGCUUAACUCCGCCGGUUACCCUACGCCCCCUUUGUAAACGGUGCAGUUGUAUGAGGAGCAUUGGGUACCUCGUUGUCGGGUCUGGCUGACUUUGGAGGCUCAUCCCCUUCAGCCAGGUUGGUGUUCUCUUGAUUCUGAGACAAUUGGACUCAGGACGGACGACACCGUUGAAGCAGCAGCCAUGAAGACUCUGACGACUUUCUGUGGCUACCAUCCCCUGGAGAUGGUGAUGCACCCCUUGGGACUCUUCCCUGCUGAGAAGAAGGAUGAUCCCAUGUGGUGUAACCGCGUGAGCCAUGUGAAGGAUGUGUGGGCAAUGUAUCCUGACUUGGUUGGGAGGGUCACCGUUCAGUGCAUGGGUGCGCUGUACUGCCUUCAGGCCCUUCAAAGCGAUGCUAUGGCACUCCUUGCUAACACCGCUCAAACCGCCAAGCUCACUCUCGAUAGUCGAGAAGAUUUUGUGGUCGAUCUAUCCACCGAGUUGGUAGAGAAGGAUCUGCAGGUGGAAAGGCUGAGCCAACGCAUUACCACCUUGGAGCAGCAGGUGGAGAUCCGAGACAACACCAUUGAUGUCUUGGAGAACCAGCUUCACGAUGUGUAGAGGGAACUCGAAGAAGCGAAUGACCACCUGGACAUGCACCACUUGGAGAUGGAGGCCAAUGAAGCCGGAAGCGAGGAAGAAGAGGCUCCCGAGGAGCUAGGACCAGCCCCUGGUGCCCAUGGGACUACCUCCGUGAUGCCUCCUUCACCCGUAUCCAGUGUCGCUUCCACCGCUCAGGGUUAAGCAGCCACUUCGACACUUUUAGGCGGAUAGAAACCUAUGCGAGCUUAGUUAAUAUCAGAUUUUGGACUAGGCUUACGGGUACUUUCCCCUGAUUGAUGUAACCCUGUGAACUUUUGAAAUCUAUGGGAUGUUUGUCACCAUGUUAUCUUCAUUUCGAACCUAAUAUUAUGAUUAUGGCAUUUUUCCUUCCAUAUGAGAUGAUAUCUUGUCGUUCGAAACUGUGAGAUGGGAUAACAAUGGCGGCAAUCUCUGUUUUCAUAUGGCAGCUAGGCAGCGUCGCGGGCAUAACGAGCAGGUUCCCCCGCCACCUCCUCCAGCUCCCACAGUGCAGGAGCUGAUGGCCCAGCAGAAUGAGAUUCUGCGACAGCUCUUGCAGCACCAGCCCCACCCUCAGCAGCAUGGUGGAGGCCAGCAUCAGUGACCUCCGGUAAUGGCAACCUACCAGGAGUUUCUGAGCACGCAACCACCCUUGUUCACCAAGGCAGAGGAUCCGUUGGACACCGACGUGUGGCUCCGCGUCGUUGAGUCCAAGUUUCCCCUCCUCACGGGAGAUUGCCCUGAUGAAGCCAAGGCUCGCUUCGCCGCACAGCAGCUUCGCGGCCCUGCUCGGACUUGGUGGGACCACUUCCGUGCUAUGCUCCCCAAUGAUCGUGAAGUAUCUUGGGAGGAAUUCAAGACUGCCUUCAGAGGACACCACAUCCCAGCUGGCAUUCUUGAUCGGAAGCUGAAUGAAUUUCUGGCACUUAAUCAAGGAACCCGCACGGUACUGCAGUAUGCGCAAGCCUUCAACGACUUAUGCCAGUAUGCAGGGUACCAUGCUGAUUCUGAUGAAAAGAAGAGAGACCGCUUCCGCAGGGGUCUCAAUACCAAGCUGCGGGAACGACUCAACACUGUCCGGGCUGAUAGCUUCAAUGAGUUGGUCAACAUGGCCAUCUCCCAGGAGGAUUGCAUUGUAGCUCACCGGGCAGAGAAGAAGAGAAAGGCACCAAUGGCAGCACCUUCCGCUCAGGCUCAGAGGUUCUGUAUUGUUUCUCACAAUCAGAGCAGGGGUUUCCAGCAGCAGGCAGGCAGAUGGGUGAUCAGGCCACCUCAGCAGCAGCAGCCGGCACCUAACCGCUUUCCAGCUCCCGCUCCAAGGAACAAUCAGCCUCCGCAGCAGCAGCAGUUCUGCCAGGGCAAUGGGAACAAGUGUUUCACUUGUGGCAAUGUGGGCCACUAUGCCAAGAAUUGUCCUAGGAACCAGCAGAGGCAGAUGCCAGCACCAAAUCAAGACAAGGGAAGAAAGCAGAAGGUACAAGUCAGGCAAGGGAAGCUCAACUUCACUGCUCUGGAGGAAGUACCUGAGGGAGCUCCUAUCAUGACCGGUAUCUUUUCAGUUUAUAAUCAACCUGCUUUAAUUCUGUUUGAUUCUGAUGCAUCUCAUAGUUUCAUUAGCCAAAAGUUCAGUGCUAAAUGUGAACUGCCAUUCUCUCACUCGAAAGGGUCAUUCUUGAUAGUCACACCUGGGGGUAAAAUUUCAACUAAUCAAUUAAACCAAAGUGUGCAUAUUCAACUGGGAAGCCACAUUGUCAAAACCACUCUUCUUGUUUUGGGUUUGGAAAAUGUGGACAUUAUUCUGGGAGCUAAUUGGAUGACCUUGCACCAAGUUGUGCUUGAUGUAGCCAGCCGUACCGUGGAAGUUAAUUCUCCGUUCUGCGGGAACUUCACCUUAAUUCUGCCUAGUCAAGGUUCUACUCAGUCAUGUGCUUUCUCUAUGACAGAGUUACCUCUGAAGAAGAUCCCAGUGGUCUGCGAAUAUGCAGAUGUAUUUCCUGAUGAAUUGCUAGGAAUGCCACCAGACCGGGAUAUUGAAUUUGCCAUCGAGUUGCAACCGGGAACGACCCCAAUUUCCAAGAGGCCCAACCGAAUGCCACCCGCUGAGUUGGCAGAAUUGAAGAAGCAAUUGCAAGAGUUGCUGGAUAAGGGAUUUAUUCGCCCAAGUACUUCGCCUUGGGGAUGUCCAGCACUGUUUGUAAAGAAGAAGGAUGAAAGCUUGAGGCUGUGUAUAGAUUACCGCCCUCUUAAUGCGUUAACUAUCAAGAACAAGUAUCCUUUGCCUCGUAUUGAUGUUCUUUUUGACCAGUUGGUCGGGGCCAAGGUGUUUUCCAAAAUAGACCUUCGCUCUGGCUACCAUCAGAUCAAAAUACGAGCAAGCGAUAUUCUGAAGACGACAUUCUCAACCAGAUAUGGGCUAUAUGAAUUCUUGGUGAUGUCAUUCGGGCUGACAAAUGCACCAGCAUAUUUCAUGUAUCUGAUGAAUUCUGUUUUCAUGCCUGAAUUGGACAAGUUCGUAGUGGUUUUCAUCGAUGAUAUUUUGGUGUACUCAAGGAACGAAGAAGAACAUGUCGGGCAUUUGCAUGUAGUGCUUCAACGUCUGCGAGAGCACCACCUUUAUGCCAAGUUAUCCAAGUGUGAUUUUUGGCUAAAGGAAAUCAAAUUCUUGGGUCACACUAUCUCUCAGGCAGGAAUAGCUGUUGAUCCUGAUAAAGUGCAAGAGGUGAUGAACUGGAAGCCACCAACGACUGUCCGUCAAAUUCGGAGUUUUCUAGGAUUAGCUGGUUAUUACCGAAGAUUUAUUCCGGAUUUCUCUCGAAUUGCGAAGCCUAUAACUGAGUUGCUGAAGAAAGAAGCCAAGUUUGUUUGGAGUCAGAAGUGCGAAGAUGCCUUCCAUGCAUUAAGGCAGCAUCUGACCACAUCACCAGUAUUAGCGCAACCCGACAACAGCAAGUCUUUCGAUGUGUAUUGCGAUGCCUCUGGCACUGGGCUAGGUUGUGUCUUGAUGCAAUACAACCGAGUCAUCGCUUAUGCCUCAAGAGCACUCAGGCCUCAUGAACAAAAUUAUCCCACUCAUGACCUCGAGUUGGCAGCAGUGGUUCAUGCAUUAAAAAUAUGGAGGCACUAUUUAAUGGGAACCCACUGCAACAUCUUCACUGAUCAUAAGAGCCUUAAGUACAUCUUCACUCAGGCUGAUCUCAACAUGAGGCAGACAAGAUGGCUAGAGCUGAUCAAGGAUUAUGACCUGGAGGUACAUUAUCACCCAGGAAAGGCCAAUGUGGUAGCAGAUGCCUUGAGUCGGAAGUUGCAAUGCAAUUGUAUUCCGAUGGAUUCUCACAUUAACACCUUGUGUGAUGAGUUGAGAAAGAUGCAAAUUGAAGUGAUUCCUUCUGGUUCCUUGUCUCACAUUUCUGUUGAGCCAGCUUUGCAAGACCAGAUUAUCAUGGCCCAGCUCAGUGACAAGGGAGUGCAGAUUAUCAAGAAGAAUCUCCAUCAGAAGGUUGAGAAGUAUAAUUGUUUCCGCCAAGAUGAAAAGGGUGUGUUAUGGUUCAAAAGCAGAUUGGUGAUUCCUAAAAACCAGGACCUCAAGAGGAAAAUCUUGGAUGAGGCUCAUCUCUCCAAAUUCUUUAUGCAUCCGGGAAGGACCAAAAUGUACCAUGAUCUGAAGCCUUUGUAUUGGUGGACCAGAAUGAAGAGGGAGAUAGCCCAGUAUGUAUCAGAAUGUGACACUUGUUAGAGGAUAAAGGCAAGCCACUUGAAAUCAGCUGGAGCUUUGCAACCCCUAUCUAUACCUUCAUGGAAAUGGGAUGACAUCAGCAUGGAUUUCAUUGUGGGUCUGCCCAACACCUCUCGUCAUCAUGAUUCGAUUUGGGUUAUUGUGGACCGACUGACGAAAGUGGCACAUUUUCUUCCUGUGCACACCACUGAUAAGGCUCAGAAGUAUGCAGAAUUGUAUAUUGACUGGAUCGUGUGUUUGCACGGAUUACCUCGGACCAUUGUUUCUGACCGAGGAGCCCAAUUUAUUGACAGAUUUUGGGAACAACUGCAGGAGUCUUUGGGAACCAAGCUAAUCAGAAGUUCAGCUUACCACCCACAGACUGAUGGUCAGACGGAAAGGGAAAACCAAAUCCUGGAGGAUAUGCUGAGAGCUUGUGCAAUCGAUUGUGGCAAGAACUGGGCUAAGCACCUCUCCUUGGUAGAGUUUGCUUAUAACAACAGUUAUCAAUCCAGCCUAAGGAUGGCACCUUUCGAAGCUCUCUAUGGAAGAAGAUGCAGGACACCACUCAAUUGGUCUCAACCUGAAGAAAGAGAAGUUUUUGGACUUGACUUAGUGACUGAAGCCGAAAGGAAGGUCAAACUAAUCAGGAAGAAUCUAGAAGCUGCUCAGGCCAGGCAGAAGAGUUACCAUGAUAAAAGAAGAAAACCUCUCCAGUUCAAGGUGGGAAGUUUUGUAUACCUCAAGGUAUCACCCACCAAGGGAGUGCAGAGGUUUGGGAUCAAAGGCAAGCUAGCCCCUCGUUACAUUGGACCUUAUGAGAUCAUAGAAGCAUGUGGACCCAUGGCAUAUAAGCUAAAGUUACCUUCAAAGAUGUCUGCCAUUCACAGUGUGUUCCAUGUAUCUCAGUUGAAGAAGUGUGUUCGAUUACCGACCGAGAUCAUAGCAGAGCCAGAAUUGGAGAUAGAGCCAGAUCUAUCGUACCAAGAUUCUGGAUUGCAAAGAAAGAUCAACUCGGGCUAAAUCGAUCAAGAUGUACAAGGUCCAGUGGAGUAAUCACUCAGAGGAAGAACCUACUUGGGAAACCGAGGAAUUCUUGAGAUCCAACUUCCCCGAUUGCCUACCUAAGGAAGCUGGUACGUAAUCACACCCAACCCCUCCUCCUGCCCUUCGAAUCUAAUUUUCAAGAAUAUGAUCUUAAUUCAGAAUGAAGUAAUCAUGAAAUAAAACUUAAAAAGGGCUUCCUUCUGAAGUUGCAAAGAGAAUGACAUUCAAAGAGCAGUUUUGCCCUAAUAAUAACAAUAAUCACCCACUUCCUUUAAGUCUCACCCUUCGCUUCACCCCGGGAGGACUCUGGCCCGAAUCUCGGGACGAGAUUCCUUUAAGGGGGGAAGGCUGUGACACCCCAGUGUCACCUAGGGUUUCUCUCAAAAUGCUAACCCAAGAACCAUCAUUUUAUGUGAACCAAAUUGAGCAUGAGCAUCAAAUUGACUUAAGAGUGAAGAACCCACCAAGCCUAUACUUAAAAGUAUCAUGAUCAAAACAAAUGGGUCUUUCAAAAAGGGUAAUAAUGUUGCAACCCUAAUAAAAACCCUAAGUGAGCCCUAUGAGCAAAAUUCAAGAAAAUGGGGAAAAGGGUAUGAAAAAUUUAAAAUUAUGGCUUGGGCCAAUUAUAAACAUUGAAGUAUAUUCAUUAAGCAACAAGAAAGAUUGAGGAAGCUUGGCCAAAAUAACUCAAUUAAAACCCCAAAACAAGCUUCUCAUGUGGGGACUCAAUGGGGAAUUCUGAAUUUCAGAAUUCUGAAUUUCAGACCUUGAGCCAAAGAUCAAGUGUGUUCACCUUGAUCCCUAACUCAAAUCCUAAUGGCCCCAUUAACAAAAAUGUGCCUAACUAACCCCUCUGUCGUGUGCCAGAAGAUGGCAUUGGGACGCGAGCCCUAGACACGACAAAACCCUGGAUUUGCCUUGGGUUUGAGCAGGGAGACAGACCGGAUUUCCGGGCUCCAUAUCUCUGCAACCAGUAGGCAAAAUCCUAUGACCCCCACACAAGAUCGGUAGCUUGUAGGGAGGAGAAGAGGUUUUGUGCACUGACCAAGGCGAGAGCAGGCUCGGAUGAGCAACCACACGCGCCAGAACUUGGGCAGAACGAACGGGCACACGUGUUCGACCCUGGUCGGCACGCCGACGCUCGCCCAACCCGCGAAAAUUUUUGUGCCAAGUCAUGUUAUAGCACCUAAAAGCCAGCAAAAGUAAGUUUAAGAGAAUUACCUACUGUUAACUAAUAGUUGUAGUUCAAAGCACCCCUUCUGCCCUAGAACUUGGUAAUUUUGUCCAGAGAAAACUAUUCACUUUCUAAUCCCCAAAUUUUGAGACAGAGAAUUAUACACCAAUAGAAAGCCACUGUAAUUUUUGCAGAAGUUUUGGAAUUUUAUUAAGGCAACUUGUAGUUCAAACCCACUCCAAAAACUUAAGGAGAAUAAAGAAAAAGAAAGAAGAAAUAAACCUCGCUCCAAUGAGUCCAACUUGAAUUCAUGUCAAAACUCACUAUGGCUUUAAAAGAAUUCAGUGGAACCCCAAAAACAAACCUACCACUUACCUUAGCUAAGUUUGACCCAAUUUACCAAAAAUGCCACCCAAAGGUCUUACAUAAGUAAGGUGUAACUCUAUCUAACGCAAGUAGAUCAUGAAGUUGUAAUUUCUAAAGCACAUAUCAUGUCAUGCAUCUAUCUUACGCAUUGCAUUCAUUAGAUUGUAAUCUUGCCGACGGAGAGUACGUGCUCAUCCCUGAGCAAGGAUCUGUCCAAGAGGAGGACCAGGAGCAAGCUUCCGAGGCUGCUGUUGAGGAUCUCCCCGCAGCCCCAGCAAUUGAAGGCAAGCCCCAGUUUAUAUGCAUAACCAUAUUACUAUAUGCUACUUUACUACACUUAAUGCUUGUAGGAUUGUAAUGUGCACUUAAGUGUAGGAGUUGCUUGAAACCUCUAGUUGCAUGAACUUAGGAUUCCUUUUUGAGAUGAAUACUAGUAUGCUAGGUCGAGUAGCUGCUUUGCUAAUCAGGAUCUCGGUAGAAGUCGAGUGAUUUUUCUAGCACUCGCGCGAGGUCAGGAAUUGAUUGUAUUCAUCUUGAUAACGGGAUCUAUGUUAGUCUAUGGACUUGGGUCCAGGGAGGAUGCCUUGUCUAUGAGACGGGAAAAAGGAAUUAAGGAUUAAUGUGUGGAUACCUGAGUCAAGCUUUUGAACGUACUAAGCACAUGCCGGGAAAAAUGGUAACAGGUAAACCUAGUACCUGAGUGAAGCCGGACGCAGACUUUAUCCCUCAUGCGACCUGAGACUGGGUCUCCCAUGCUAGCUAUGGUGGGUACAAGUGCGGUCACUGCACGGCGGCACCCUGUAACGCCCUGAAUUUGGGGGUAGAAUUUUUUCUUCUUUUCUCUCACCAAAUUCGGGCGUUACUCUCUCUUCUCUUUCCCCGUUUGCUCCUUCUUCCCAAUUUCAAACCAGUAUAGCGGCAUGUGUCCGUGUCAUGUAUAAACCAAAACCUAAGUGUCAUGGGUGUUGCAUCAUGCCGAAGCACAUUUCUUUGUCUGAGGUUGAGGGUUCGUCUCGUUCCGUUCCGGAUUUUGAUUCACGUUUUAAGUCCGUUUAGUGGUCCGCGCUCGUCGUGGGUUUUCGAUCCGCGAAGUGGCCCGGCCCAACCUAGUCCAGCCCAGCCCAGCCGGCCCGGCCCGCCCCGGCCUGCGCGCCCCUGGCGCCCAACCCCCCCCAUGCGCCCCCUCUCCUCUCUCUCUCUCAUUUGGAUCUCCCGCGCAAACAACCUCUCCUCUCCCUCUCCCACCUCUCUCUCCCCGUGGUGCCCUAGGGUUUGGAGACGGCGAUCACCGGAUUUUGGACCCCGAGGUGAGUUCCCCUCCCCUCCCCUUCUCUUUCUCUCUCUCCCUCUCCCUCCCCUUCUUCUCCCCACGCGCGCCCUCCCUUUCCCCUGCCCGCGCGCGCCCCUGCCCGUCCCCGCUCGCCGGCGGCGCGCCCGCCCCUCCCCCGGCGCGGCGGCGCCCGACCCCGCCCCUUCCCUCGCGCGCGGCGGCGCCCGCCCCUUCCCCGGCCGCGGCGGCGUCCGCCCGCCCCUGCCCGGCCCCGCGCGGCGCCCGCCCCUCCCCGACCCGCGGCGGCGCCCGCCCCUUCCCCGGCCGCGGCGGCGUCCGCCCGCCCCUGCCCGACCCGCGCGGCGGCGCCCGCCCCUCCCCGACCCGCGGCGGCGAUCCCGCCCGCCCCUGCUCCCCCGGCGCGGCCCCGGCCGGCCCAGCCGCCCCUGGCCGGUUCAACCGCCCCGGCCCCGGCUCGGCCGCCCGUUUCCCCGUCCCGGCCUCGCCCGACCGUAUCUUCGCUCGCCCGCGCUCGCGGUGAUUAUUCGUUAAUUAGCGUGUUGCGUCGCGCGCUUCGCCGCGUGACGGAUUUGUCUAAAUUCAGAUUCUAUCUUGUGUUGCGUCGUGCGCUUCGUCGCGCGACGAUCCAUUUUUGUUUCAGGUUGUUUAAGGUGUAACGCCGCGUGUGUAUUCACGCGACGUUCCACUUUGGACUCAGUUUAGUCGACGUAUGCCGUCGUGCGCUUCGUCGCGCGACGCUUAACGUCUCCUCGUAACUAAGGCGAAGUGUCUCGUUGCGUGCUCGGUCGCACGACGAGUCGUUAACUUCUUAAUUUGUUUUAGAGAGCCUUGUCGCGCGUCUCGCCACGCGACCAUCUUUUUGUUUAUCUCCACCUGCUUAUAAUAAUUAGACAUGAAACAUGACUUUACUUUACGCUAAACAUAGUGUCUACAUUAAAUUUCCUUCCAUUAAGCGAGUGGUUAAUUUAUAAUCAUGUAACGUGAUCGUUUCUCGACUGUCUUUUCCUCUUUCUCUCUUAACCGUACUCGCGAGCCCGCGUAGAACGUCUGUUUACUUAUUGCAUUCUAUUGUAUGGUGUACUGUUCUUUUGUAUUAAAUAUGUGGAUGUAUGUAUGUUUGCGCUCGCAUAGAGAACGAUCCGGUUGAAGAGCCCGAGGAACUCGCGGGAGAAGCCCCUGAGCAGCAGUCGGUUGGUGGAGGCAAGUGUCCUUUGACCUAUCUCUGUCCUAUUCAUUAUUUAAUUCACCUCCCGCAUUACACAUUUAUACCUAAGGAUUGACUAGCUUUUGUUAUCCAUGUCCUUGUUUACCUAUUUGGGUUGGAUUAUUACUGUUUAGCUUUAUGCUAUUGCUCAACUCUAAUCAAUGAACAUGAUGAGAUUAUCUAUGAUACGCUGUUUUCCCUUCUCUUAUGAUGAUGUUGUACUUGUGGUAUUCAAGGGGGCUCGAGCGGUUUCUCGAGUGCCUCUCCGUAAGGACCUGUUCUAUGGAUGACCGCCCGGGAAAACAGUGCAACCAUGAGGGUGGAAUGGGGCGCCCUUAGCUAAAUAAUUAGAGGAUCCGGGGUGUAGUUCGCUUCGCUGUCGUGCCGUCAAUGGGGCUCGGUGUAUGCGGCUCGCUCUGCCAAGGUUGAUUCGUCCCUUGGGGAGGAGUGCGGUACAUUUAGGAAACCUAACGGGCGGCUACAGCCCCGAGGAAUCUUUGUAAAGGCUACGUAGUGAAACCCUGCCUAUUCACCUUGGUAGUGUUUAAGGGUUUGAUCGGCCCGAGGCAAGAGGGAAUCACGGCUUAUGGGUAAAGUGCACAACCUCUGCAGAGUGUUAUGAAAACUGAUAUAUCAGCCGUGCUCACGGUUAUGAGCGGCCAAGGGAGCUCCAGUGAUUAGUGGUACUUGAUCAGAGACACUGUGGUACAGGUGGUUAUGAGAUCGAUGGUUCUGGUUAUGACUAUGGUGCUGGUAAGUGGUAUUCUUUCCGCUUGGAAAGGGUACAUCGGGUUAAUAACUUGGGUUAAUGCUAAAACUUGGCUUUCUACUAGUAAGUAAUAAUCUGACCAACUAAAAGCAACUGCUUGACUUAUCCCCACAUAAAGCUAGUCCACUACAGCCAAACAGGAUACUUGCUGAGUAUGUUGAUGUGUACUCACCCUUGCUCUACACACCAAACCCCCCCCCCAGGUUGUCAGCAUUGCAACCACUGCUCAGGCGAAGAUGAAGCUGUGGAAGGAGACUUCCAGGAGUUUCAAGACUACGACGAGUUCUAGGCGUGGGUUAGCGGCAACCCCCAGUCGGCUGCCUGUGAAGGCCGCGUUUAUCUACGUUUCUUUUCCGCACUUUGAUUUAUUGUAAGAACUAUAUGGACGUCUCAGACGUAUGAUGUAAUCAACUAUUAUUCCCUUUUAAUACUAUUUUGAGCACUGUGUGAUGAUGUCCAUGUUAUGUAACUGCUGUGUACGUGAAUAACUGAUCCUGGCACGUACAUGGUUCGCAUUCGGUUUGCCUUCUAAAACCGGGUGUGACAUAAGUGGUAUCAGAGCCGUGCUGACUGUAGGACCGCUAACCUAGAGUAGAAUGGUCGUUCUAAGGACUAUAGACCUCUGUCUCUGCCUUGACUUUGAUAUCCCUUCAAAAGUUGGUCAUACCGACCAAACCUAUGUUCUACUAUACAUUAUACCUUGCUGAAAAUCAUGUUUUAUUCUAAUCCUUCAUUCACUCAUGAUUCAUUAUUUGCUGGUCCUAUUAAUUCUGUUCUCACCCUUUUGCUUGCGAUGUCUUUUGUAGAUGGCUCGACUUAGACACACUGCACGAAAGUCAGUCAUCCCCUUCUUACCCUCCCGCCUUGCUGAGCGUCCGCUUCGCCGUCCUGUGGCCGGACAGUCCAGCCACUUGGAGAGACUGCACCACCGCCUGCAUGAGGAGCAGGAACGUCGACGACAGGAGCAGCAGGGCUCUUCUUUCUCGCUCCACCAGGAGAUAGAGUCUGUGAGGAGCUGCUCCCCUGUGCUUCCUCUGGAGCCGCCCCCCUGCACCACCACUGGGCGUCCCAGCUUCUGGAGUAGCUGCUGGAGGAGAUCCAGACGACGGAGGAGGCGACGACAGCUCAAGCCAUGACACCGACUUCUCUGCUAACCUUGAGCCGGAAGGAUGGGUUGCUCGACCCAUCACUCGCGACGCUGCUCGCGGGUGUCACUUCCACGAUGCGCUCGACACCCUGCUACGUCGGGCAUUUGACCGACAUACUUGGUCCGUCGAGUAUCGCUGUGUGGUCUACCAGCACAGUCGCGGGGUCUACCCGGACCGCUGGGAGGCAACCUGCUUGGUGCGCUGCCCGGAGAACAGUCUCCAGGGUGCUGAGGUCUGCUCAGAGCACUAUUCUAUUUCUUAGCGGGACUCAGCUGAGGCAGCCAUGCAAGAUGCUGCACGGCGUGCGCUUUCGCACUACUGCUCGGUUUUCGGUGGGGCAGCUGACGGUCUUGACCUGAAGUAUUACCCCCGCCGUUCAUCUGGCAGCACAGGAGGCGUGAUUGUCUCACCUGUCGGUGAGGGCAAUCCUAGGUUGAGCAGCACAGUCAACCUAGCCGCCGUGCUAAACACGGAGCUGGACCAUGCAUUAGACGAGCUGAGUAGGGCUCGUGCUGAGAUCGCCCUGCUGCGGGCUGAGCGCGCGGAACGUCGUCACCUGGAGGAUGGUUCCCCCGCUCCCGUCGGGACUCAGCACCCGUACCGCUCACCUCAGCGUGGACACCAGUCUUAUGGCAAUCCCGACUGCAAGACCAAGAUAACUCUAGAACCAUAGAUCGUUAGAGUUGGAUCUUGUAAUUAAUACGAAAUAUAUACAUAGAAGCUAUAGUCUUAGCGUUAGUCUCGGUCUUAGUUAGUCUUAGUUAGACAGGGUAGUUUGCUAUAUCCUGUGCAUUUAUGUUUGUCAUGAUGAACUAUGUUUGGUUUGGAUCUUUGUAAUGAUUGUCACCAGAGUGUGGGUAUCCCCUGCAUUUUGGUUUACCUAUUAUGUUAAUAAAGUUAGUUAUAUAGUUGGGAAACCUUUUAUUCCACUUUCCUCUUUAUCUGAGAAGCUGUGUGGUCUGUGUUGGAGAUCAGUGAAGAUGCUCAUCUGUUCAGUGCUGUUGAAGAAUCCUCUACUCUUUUCUUAUGCUGCAAGAUUUGCCAGAUCAGUUCUGAUGUGUGGUUGCAUUCUGCAGAUGUCAGAGAACAGGCGCAGAGGAGGAAGGCGUGCUCAGCAGGAGCGAGCCGCUCCGCAGGAGGAGGUGCCCCAGCAGCAGCACCUGCCGCCCCCGCCCCCGAUGUCCAUCGAGCAGAUGUUUCUGAUGCAGACUCAGGCAGUUCAAGCCAUCGGUCAGACCUUGGCCGCCAUUCAGCAGCAGCAGCAGCAACAGCAGCAGGCCCCACCUCAACCUUAGAUGCCUCAGAUGCCCAGAGACAAGCGUGUUGAAUUCAUGAGAGGUCAUCCACCAACGUUCGCUCAUUCUUCUGACCCCAUGGAUGCUGAAGAUUGGCUGCGCACUGUGGAGCGGGAGUUGCAUACCGCUCAGUGCGAUGACAGGGAGAAAGUCUUGUAUGGUCCCCGUCUGUUGAGAGGAGCAGCCCAGUCAUGGUGGGAGUCUUAUCUCGCCACCCAUGCCCACCCUGACGCCAUCACCUGGGAAGAGUUCAGAGGAAGCUUUCGUCAGUACCAUGUUCCUGCAGGUCUGAUGACAGUGAAGAAGGAGGAGUUCCUGGCUCUCAAGCAAGGGCCGUUGUCUGUCAGUGAGUACCGAGACAGAUUUCUGCAAUUGUCUCGCUAUGCUCCUGAAGAUGUCAACACCGACGCCAAGCGACAAUACCGUUUCCUGAGAGGCUUGGUUGACCCUCUGCAGUACCAACUGAUGAAUCACACCUUCCCGACAUUCCAGCACCUGAUUGAUAGAGCAAUCAUGACAGAGAGGAAGCGUAAGGAGAUGGAAGAUCGUAAGCGCAAGAUCAGUGGACCCCAGCCUGGAAGCAGCAGUCGUCCUCGUUUCUCAGGCAAUCAACCUCAGCAGUUCAGGCAGAACCAGCGUCCACCUCAGCAUCAGCAGUUCCAAAGGCAGUAUCCUCAGCACCAGUACCAGAACCGUCAGAGCAAUCAGUCAGGAGGUCAGUUUCAGAAGCAGAAUCAGCAGGCACCUCGUCUUCCUGCCCCAGCAGCCCAGCAGAACAGUCAGGCAGCACCAGCUCAGGUUGGAAACAGAGCAUGUUUCCACUGUGGAGAGCAAGGCCACUAGGUGAUGCAAUGUCCGAAGAAGGCAGCCCAGCAGCAGUCAGGCCCCAAUGCCCUAGCAAAGCAGAAUGUGCCUCAGUCUGGAGCAGGCAAUCGCUCUCAGCCGCGUUAUAAUCAUGGGAGACUGAACCACUUGGAGGCUGAAGCAAUUCAGGAGACCCCCGGCAUGAUAGUAGGUAUGUUCCCAGUCGACUCCCAUAUUGCAGAAGUGUUAUUUGAUACUGGAGCAACGCAUUCUUUCAUUACUGCAUCGUGGGUAGAAGCACAUAAUCUUCCAAUUACUACCAUGUCAAACCCCAUUCAAAUUGACUCAGCCGGUGGUAGAAUUCGAGCCGAUAGCAUUUGUUUGAAUAUAAGUGUGGAAAUAAGGGGGAUAGCGUUUCCCGCCAACCUUAUAGUAAUGGGUACUCAGGGAAUAGAUGUCAUCCUAGGGAUGAAUUGGCUAGAUAAGUAUCAGGCAGUUAUCAGCUGUGAUAAGCGGACAAUCAAGUUGGUGUCCCCACUAGGAGAGGAAGUGGUGACCGAGUUAGUCUCGCCUGAGCCAAAGAAAGGAAGUUGUUAUCAGAUAGCUGUUGAUAGCAAUGAAGCAGACCCAAUUGAGAGGAUCAGGGUUGUGUCCGAGUUCCCAGAUGUGUUUUCGAAGGACUUACCGGGUAUGCCACCAGAGCGGAAAGUUGAGUUUGCCAUAGAGCUUCUUCCUGGAACCGCCCCUAUCUUCAAGAGAGCUUACAGAAUAUCUGGACCAGAGUUGGUUGAGCUUAAGAAGCAAAUUGAUGAGCUGUCAGAGAAAGGUUACAUUCGGCCAAGCACCUCGCCUUGGGCCGCCCCUGUCCUAUUUGUGGAGAAGAAAGAUGGCACCAAGAGGAUGUGCAUUGAUUAUCGAGCUUUGAAUGAAGUCACGAUCAAGAACAAGUAUCCCUUGCCCAGAAUAGAAGAUCUGUUCGACCAGUUGAGAGGAGCCAGUGUGUUCUCCAAGAUUGAUCUGAGGUCAGGUUAUCAUCAGCUCAGGAUCCGACCUUCGGACAUUCCGAAGACGACAUUUAUUACCAAGUAUGGUUUGUAUGAGUUCACAGUGAUGUCUUUUGGCUUGACCAAUGUGCCAGCGUUCUUUAUGAACUUGAUGAACAGUGUAUUCAUGGAUUACCUUGAUAAGUUUGUGGUAGUAUUCAUUGAUGACAUUCUGGUUUAUUCUCAAAGCGAAGAAGAACAUGCAGAUCAUUUGAGGAUGGUAUUGCAGAGAUUGCGAGAGCACCAGUUGUAUGCAAAGUUGAGCAAGUGUGAGUUCUGGAUCAGUGAAGUCCUGUUCUUGGGUCACAUAAUCAACAAAGAAGGUUUGGCUGUGGAUCCGAAGAAAGUGGCAGACAUUUUGAACUGGAAAGCGCCAACAGAUGCUCGAGGAAUCAAGAGUUUCAUUGGAAUGGCCGGAUAUUAUCGGCGAUUCAUUGAAGGGUUUUCGAAGAUUGCAAAACCGAUGACAGCGUUGCUAGGCAACAAAGUUGAGUUCAAGUGGACCCAGAAAUGUCAAGAGGCCUUUGAAGCGCUGAAGGAAAAAUUGACUACAGCGCCUGUCCUAGUCUUGCCUGAUGUGCACAAGCCCUUCUCGGUGUAUUGUGAUGCUUGUUACACGGGUUUGGGAUGUGUGUUGAUGCAAGAGGGAAGAGUUGUGGCUUACUCGUCCCGACAGCUGAAGGUUCAUGAGAAGAACUACCCCAUCCAUGACCUAGAGUUGGCAGCAGUGGUUCACGCACUGAAGUCAUGGAGGCACUAUUUGUAUGGACAGAAAUGCGAUGUUUACACAGAUCACAAGAGUCUAAAGUAUAUAUUCACUCAGUCAGAGUUGAACAUGAGGCAACGAAGAUGGUUAGAGUUGAUCAAAGACUAUGAGUUGGAGAUUCAUUACCAUCCAGGCAAAGCAAACGUAGUGGCAGAUGCUUUGAGCAGAAAGAGUCAAGUCAAUCUGAUGGUCGCUCGUCCGAUGCCUUAUGAGUUGGCCAAAGAGUUCGACAGGUUGAGUCUCGGAUUUCUGAACAAUUCGCGAGGAGUCACAGUCGAGUUGGAACCUACCUUGGAGCGCGAAAUCAAAGAAGCGCAGAAGAAUGAUGAGAAGAUCAAUGAGAUCCGGCGACUGAUUCUAGAUGGCAGAGGCAAAGAUUUUCGAAAGGAUGCAGAAGGCGUGAUAUGGUUCAAAGACCGCUUGUGUGUUCCCAAUGUCCAGUCUAUUCGGGAGUUGAUUCUUAAGGAAGCUCAUGAGACAGCCUAUUCGAUUCACCCUGGCAGUGAGAAGAUGUAUCAGGAUCUGAAGAAGAAAUUCUGGUGGUACGGAAUGAAGAGGGAAAUCGCAGAGCAUGUGGCUAUGUGCGAUAGUUGCCGAAGAAUUAAGGCAGAGCACCAGAGACCUGCUGGAUUGUUGCAACCGUUGCAGAUCCCUCAGUGGAAAUGGGAUGAAAUUGGUAUGGAUUUCAUAGUCGGAUUGCCUCGCACUCGAGCCGGCUACGAUUCCAUUUGGGUAGUAGUGGACCGUUUGACCAAGUCAGCCCACUUCAUACCUGUCAAGACCAACUAUAGCAGUGCCGUAUUGGCAGAAUUGUAUAUGUCUCGUAUCGUUUGUCUUCAUGGUGUGCCAAAGAAGAUAGUGUCAGACAGAGGAACGCAGUUCACCUCUCAUUUCUGGCAGCAGUUGCAUGAAGCCUUGGGCACGCAUCUGAAUUUCAGUUCAGCUUAUCACCCGCAGACGGAUGGUCAGACCGAAAGGACCAAUCAAAUUCUUGAAGACAUGUUGAGAGCCUGUGCGUUGCAAGAUCGGUCCGGAUGGGACAAGAGAUUGCCUUAUGCAGAGUUUUCCUAUAACAACAGUUACCAGGCCAGUUUGAAGAUGUCACCAUUUCAGGCGCUCUAUGGAAGGAGUUGCAGAACUCCGUUGCAAUGGGAUCAGCCUGGAGAGAAGCAAGUGUUUGGGCCAGACAUUUUGCUUGAAGCCGAAGAGAACAUCAAGAUGGUUCGAGAGAAUCUGAAGAUAGCACAAUCGAGGCAGCGAAGCUAUGCAGACAUAAGAAGAAGGGAGCUGAGUUUCGAAGUCGGAGACUUUGUCUAUCUGAAAGUGUCACCGAUCAGAGGAGUCAGAAGAUUCGGAGUGAAAGGCAAGCUAGCACCCCGCUACAUUGGUCCGUAUCAGAUUCUUGCAAGACGUGGAGAAGUGGCCUAUCAGCUCAGUUUGCCAGAGAAUUUGUCUGCUGUGCAUGAUGUCUUUCAUGUGUCUCAGUUGAAGAAGUGCUUGCGUGUGCCAGAAGAGCAGUUGCCAGUGGAAGGUCUUGAAGUCCAGGAGGACUUGACCUACGUUGAGAAGCCAGUGCAAAUCCUUGAGAUUGCAGACAGAGUCACCCGAAGGAAGACCAUCAGAAUGUGCAAAGUCAAAUGGAAUCAUCACUCUGAGGAAGAAGCAACCUGGGAGCGUGAAGAUGAUCUGAUGGCUAAAUACCCUGAGCUCUUUGCUAGCCAACCCUGAAUCUCGAGGGCGAGAUUCUUUUAAGGGGGAUAGGUUUGUAACGCCCUGAAUUUGGGGGUAGAAUUUUUUCUUCUUUUCUCUCACCAAAUUCGGGCGUUACUCUCUCUUCUCUUUCCCCGUUUGCUCCUUCUUCCCAAUUUCAAACCAGUAUAGCGGCAUGUGUCCGUGUCAUGUAUAAACCAAAACCUAAGUGUCAUGGGUGUUGCAUCAUGCCGAAGCACAUUUCUUUGUCUGAGGUUGAGGGUUCGUCUCGUUCCGUUCCGGAUUUUGAUUCGCGUUUUAAGUCCGUUUAGUGGUCCGCGCUCGUCGUGGGUUUUCGAUCCGCGAAGUGGCCCGGCCCAACCUAGUCCAGCCCAGCCCAGCCGGCCCGGCCCGCCCCGGCCUGCGCGCCCCUGGCGCCCAACCCCCCAUGCGCCCCCCUCUCCUCUCUCUCUCUCUCAUUUGGAUCUCCCGCACAAACAACCUCUCCUCUCCCUCUCCCACCUCUCUCUCCCCGUGGUGCCCUAGGGUUUGGAGACGGCGAUCACCGGAUUUUGGACCCCGAGGUGAGUUCCCCUCCCCUCCCCUUCUCUUUCUCUCUCUCCCUCUCCCUCCCCUUCUUCUCCCCACGCGCGCCCUCCCUUUCCCCUGCCCACGCGCGCCCCUGCCCGUCCCCGCUCGCCGGCGGCGCGGCCGGUCCCGCCCGCCCCUGCCCGUCCCGCGGCGGCGCGCCCGCCCCUCCCCCGGCGCGGCGGCGCCCGACCCCGCCCCUCCCCUCGCGCGCGGCGGCGCCCGACCCCGCCCCUCCCCUCGCGCGCGGCGGCGCCCGCCCUCCACCCCGGUCCCGCGGCGGCGCCCGCCCCUUCCCCGGCCGCGGCGGCGUCCGCCCGCCCCUGCCCGGCCCCGCGCGGCGCCCGCCCCUCCCCGACCCACGGCGGCGCCCGCCCCUUCCCCGGCCGCGGCGGCGUCCGCCCGCCCCUGCCCGGCCCGCGCGGCGGCGCCCGCCCCUCCCCGACCCGCGGCGGCGAUCCCGCCCGCCCCUGCUCCCCCGGCGCGGCCCCGGCCGGCCCAGCCGCCCCUGGCCGGUUCAACCGCCCCGGCCCCGGCUCGGCCGCCCGUUUCCCCGUCCCGGCCUCGCCCGACCGUAUCUUCGCUCGCCCGCGCUCGCGGUGAUUAUUCGUUAAUUAGCGUGUUGCGUCGCGCGCUUCACCGCACGACGGAUUUGUCUAAAUUCAGAUUCUAUCUUGUGUUGCGUCGUGCGCUUCGUCGCGCGACGAUCCAUUUUUGUUUCAGGUUGUUUAAGGUGUAACGCCGCGUGUGUAUUCACGCGACGUUCCACUUUGGACUCAGUUUAGUCGACGUAUGCCGUCGUGCGCUUCGUCGCGCGACGCUUAACGUCUCCUCGUAACUAAGGCGAAGUGUCUCGUUGCGUGCUCGGUCGCACGACGAGUCGUUAACUUCUUAAUUUGUUUUAGAGAGCCUUGUCGCGCGUCUCGCCACGCGACCAUCUUUUUGUUUAUCUCCACCUGCUUAUAAUAAUUAGACAUGAAACAUGACUUUACUUUACGCUAAACAUAGUGUCUACAUUAAAUUUCCUUCCAUUAAGCGAGUGGUUAAUUUAUAAUCAUGUAACGUGAUCGUUUCUCGACUGUCUUUUCCUCUUUCUCUCUUAACCGUACUCGCGAGCCCGCGUAGAACGUCUGUUUACUUAUUGCAUUCUAUUGUAUGGUGUACUGUUCUUUUGUAUUAAAUAUGUGGAUGUAUGUAUGUUUGCGCUCGCAUAGAGAACGAUCCGGUUGAAGAGCCCGAGGAACUCGCGGGAGAAGCCCCUGAGCAGCAGUCGGUUGGUGGAGGCAAGUGUCCUUUGACCUAUCUCUGUCCUAUUCAUUAUUUAAUUCACAUCCCGCAUUACACAUUUAUACCUAAGGAUUGACUAGCUUUUGUUAUCCAUGUCCUUGUUUACCUAUUUGGGUUGGAUUAUUACUGUUUAGCUUUAUGCUAUUGCUCAACUCUAAUCAAUGAACAUGAUGAGAUUAUCUAUGAUACGCUGUUUUCCCUUCUCUUAUGAUGAUGUUGUACUUGUGGUAUUCAAGGGGGCUCGAGCGGUUUCUCGAGUGCCUCUCCGUAAGGACCUGUUCUAUGGAUGACCGCCCGGGAAAACAGUGCAACCAUGAGGGUGGAAUGGGGUGCCCUUAGCUGAAUAAUUAGAGGAUCCGGGGUGUAGUUCGCUUCGCCGUCGUGCCGUCAAUGGGGCUCGGUGUAUGCGGCUCGCUCUGCCAAGGUUGAUUCGUCCCUUGGGGAGGAGUGCGGUACAUUUAGGAAACCUAACGGGCGGCUACAGCCCCGAGGAAUCUUUGUAAAGGCUACGUAGUGAAACCCUGCCUAUUCACCUUGGUAGUGUUUAAGGGUUUGAUCGGCCCGAGGCAAGAGGGAAUCACGGCUUAUGGGUAAAGUGCACAACCUCUGCAGAGUGUUAUGAAAACUGAUAUAUCAGUCGUGCUCACGGUUAUGAGCGGCCAAGGGAGCUCCAGUGAUUAGUGGUACUUGAUCAGAGACACUGUGGUACAGGUGGUUAUGAGAUCGAUGGUUCUGGUUAUGACUAUGGUGCUGGUAAGUGGUAUUCUUUCCGUUUGGAAAGGGUACAUCGGGUUAAUAACUUGGGUUAAUGCUAAAACUUGGCUUUCUACUAGUAAGUAAUAAUCUGACCAACUAAAAGCAACUGCUUGACUUAUCCCCACAUAAAGCUAGUCCACUACAGCCAAACAGGAUACUUGCUGAGUAUGUUGAUGUGUACUCACCCUUGCUCUACACACCAACCCCCCCCCCCAGGUUGUCAGCAUUGCAACCACUGCUCAGGCGAAGAUGAAGCUGUGGAAGGAGACUUCCAGGAGUUUCAAGACUACGACGAGUUCUAGGCGUGGGUUAGCGGCAACCCCCAGUCGGCUGCCUGUGAAGGCCGCGUUUAUCUACGUUUCUUUUCCGCACUUUGAUUUAUUGUAAGAACUAUAUGGACGUCUCAGACGUAUGAUGUAAUCAACUAUUAUUCCCUUUUAAUACUAUUUUGAGCACUGUGUGAUGAUGUCCAUGUUAUGUAACUGCUGUGUACGUGAAUAACUGAUCCUGGCACGUACAUGGUUCGCAUUCGGUUUGCCUUCUAAAACCGGGUGUGACACACCCGGGGUCAGUGGAGCAUUGUAUGCCAAGGCGGUGAGGCCUGGACGCGAACGGGGAAUCGAUGGGGACGGUUGUCAUGUGUGGGGUCAGAGUACCCUGACAUGCCGUGUGUUUAGGUUUACCUUGCAAGGUUAAAACUCGAUUCGAAUCGUCCGCUUCUCGCAGCUAAUGAGACUGCUUGACCCCUUGUACUACAUCGAGUAAGAAAUGAAAUGAGGUUACAUGAGAUAAUUUGUUGGUUGAACUAAAUGCUUGUUACCAUGUAUGCUUAGAAGGAGUAAACCUAGCUAAGUUAAUGAUGAUAGAAUUUGAAAAAGCUAAAAUUUGAUUUUAGAAACAGCAAUUGCUUUUGGCAAACCAAACCCCUCAGCCAAACAGCUACAUAGUCUAGAGGUAGAGGAGUAGACUCCUCACACCGGUUAAGUCUAGCUGAGUAUUAGUAUACUCAGCCUUACUUGUGGCAUAAUUUUUGCUGGUACCAUUCAGGAAAUGGUUGAUGGUGUGACUUGGCCUACCACCCUGCCACCGGGUUGGACGGUCGAGUGGGAUGUUGCUCCGGCAGGAGAGGAGCACGAGGAGUAGUGGGCUAGGCCUUGCCCAUUUCCUCGAUACCGACGACAUCGAUUAUCCGCUGCAUUUUAUUUUGUGAACUCUUAUUUGCUACUCAAAAACUCUGAUCUAUGUAAUAAUUCAACACUUAAUUUGAGGUUUCCUGUUUCAUUGUAUUUCUUCUGUGACUCACCUUCGAGUGAGAUUGUGGAACUUGAUCCUGGUUAAGUGGCUCUAUCAGACUAGAUCUGAGGGACCGACGGGUUAUUCCGAUUUAAGUGUGUUACGGCCCCUAAGGCGUGACUUAGGCACUUAAGCUAGAAUAAUUCGGGUGGUUCUGCCACAAUUUCAUGGUCAUCGCACUUGGUGCUCCCGAGGUUGCGCACUUGGUUGACCAAGGUCUUGAGCCGGUUGUACAUUGCUUGUGGCUCCUCUCCUUGGUUGAGGACGAAUCAACCGAGCUCCCCCUCGAUCGUCUCCCGCUUGGUGAUCUUGGUCAUCUCAUCUCAUUCGUGCGUGGUCUUUAGGAAGUCCCAAAUCUCCUUGGCAUUUUUAACCCUUGCACCUUAUUAUACUCCUCUCGACAUAGAGAGGCGAGGAGUAUAGUAGUUGCUUGGGAGUUAAAGUGCCGUAUUUGGGCGACCUCGUCCGAGUCAUAGCCCUCAUCCCCCACCGUAGGUACCUGCGCUCCAAAUUCAACAAUGUCCCAAAUGCUUGCAUGGAGUGAGGUUAGGUGAUGCCUCAUUUUAUCACUCCACAUACAAUAAUCCUCACCAUCAAAAUAUGGUGGUUUGCCUGAUGGAACGGAGAGUAGAGGAGUGUGCUUAGAAAUAUGGGGAUAACGAAGUGGCAUCUUACUAUACUCCUUGCGCUCAUGGUGCUUAGAAGUGACGGACGCCGCGUCGGAGCCGGAUGUAGAGGGCGACGAAGAGUCGGUCUCGUAGUAGACCACUUUCUUCAUCUUCUUCUUCUUGUCGCCACUCCGAUGCGACUUGACACGGGGAGGGGAUCCCUCCUUGGCUUUGGUGCUGGACUCCCUUGAUGGAGCCUUCCCGUGGCUUGUGGCUUUGUCGCCGGUUUCCAUCUCCCUCUUGGCGGAUCCUCCCGACAUCACUUCGAGUUGUUAGACUCUAAAGAAGCAUCGGGCUCUGAUACCAAUUGAAAGUCGCCUAGAGGGGGGUGAAUAGGCAGAAUCUGAAAAUUAUAAACUUAAGCACAAACUACAAGCCGGGGUUAGCGUUAGAAAUGAAUUCGAGUUCGAAAGAGAGGGGGAAAUCAAAUCAAGAGCGAAUCAAAUGGAUGAACACGGUGAUUUGUUUUACCGAGGUUCGGUUUUAAAGAACCUAGUCCCCAUUGAGGUGGUCACAAAGACUGGGUCUCUUUCAACCCUUUCCCUCUCUCAAAUGGUCACUUAGACCGAGUGAGCCUUUCCCUUAAUCUCCUGGGUCACUUAGACCCCGCAAGGACCACCACACACUUAGGUGUCUCUUGCUUUGAUUACAAAUCACUUGAGAAAAGAAAUGAGAAAGGAAGAAGGCAAUCCAAGAGGCAAGAGCUCAAAAGAACACAAAAUCUCUCUCACAAGUCACUACGUGUUUGAGUUGAAUUUGGGACUUGGAGAGGCUUUGAUCUUUUGAAUUGUGUCUAGGAGUGAAUGCUAGAGCCCUUGUAUUGAAUGUGAUGCUCAGAAAUCUUGGAUACUUGUGGUGGUGGUGGUUGGGGGGUAUUUAUAGGCCUCAACCACCAAACAACCGUUGGGGCAGGCUGCUGUCGAUGGGCGCACCGGACAGUCUGGUGCGCCACCGGACACUGUCUGGUGCGCCAGCCACGUCACCCAACCGUUAGGGUUCUGGAGCUCUUGACCGUUGGAGGCUUUGUCCUCUAGUGGCACUGGACAGUCCGAUGCCGCACCAGACAGGCACUAUUCAGUGUCUGGUGCGCCUCUGACUGCGGCGCACUGUAGCGGAUUGUAGCGUUGUAGUGAGCCGUUGCAGUCGACCGUUGCGUUGGAUAGCCGUUACUCCGCUGGUGCACCGGACAGUCCGGUGGCACACCGGACAGUCCGGUGAUUUUUAGCGGAGCGCGCCUAGAGAAACCCGAGAGUGACCAGUUCGAUAUUGUAUGGUCCUGGUGCACCGGACAGUCCGGUGCGCUAGACUAGGGUACACUCGGUUUCUUUGCUCCUUUGUAUUUGAACCCUAACUUCAAUCUUUUAUUGGUUUGUGUUGAACCUUUAUGCACCUGUAGAACAUAUAUUCUAGAGCAAACUAGUUAGUCCAUUAUUUGUGUUGGGCAUUAGACCACCAAAAUUAAUACUGGGAAAAGGUUAACCCUAUUUCCCUUUCAACCAUCACAUGGUAUAGGUGCAAAAGUAGGUAUUGACUUUCUUAUAUUAAGUCUUUGUGCCUCGAUCUCCCUCCAAUGCUCGUGUUGCAUAUACUCAAUAUGUAGGGGGGUAAUGUUAGUUUGUUGCUUUUUCCCUACUUCAUACCCUGUUGUCCGUUGACAUCAUCCUACAUUUUUGUUUGAAUUAUGGUUUUGGUGUUUGAUAUCAAAGGGAGAGAAUUUAUGCAUUAAACCUUACCUCGACCUGAGAGGGAAGCGUAUCUUAAGGGUGAAGGUGUUUUGUGUGCUAAAGGGCCCAAAGCUCAACCUUGUGAUUAGGAUGAGCUCACCUUGGUUAAGGUGGAGUUUUGUUGAGUUCCUUUUGUUCUUAAGGAGGAGAAUGCUUUAGUUUUGUUGAUAAUGAUUAUCAUGUGCUUCUUUGUUGUAUUAUAUGGUGAUAAUGCUUAUAUGGUGCUUCUGUUGCUAAUCGAUGCUUUAGUUUUGGUAUCAUCUUGUUUGAUGUGUAGAUCAAUUGAUAUCUAUGGUGCUUUUUGUGUAUCUUAUGUGUUGAUUAUAAUCAUGGUGCUUUAAUUGAUAUAUUUAUGGUGAACAGUGGUAGGUUGAUAUCUUGUGUUAUAUCUUCUUAAUUGGUGUUUAUAUUGUGCUUUACGCUGCUUUGUACAUUUGUGUGUCAUGUGCAUCACGGUUUGAUUCAUGACACAAAUGCACCCCACGAAUGCUAAUAUAUAGUAAUUCUUUGCACUUAGACUAAGUAUGUGUAAUUUGGCAUUUCAGGCCAAAGUUGAGAUUUUCAGGUAAGCACAUAUUUAUGGGGAGCAUUCUAUAGCUUAGAAUUCAAAAUUGUACUUUAAAUCUUAAUCUUGUGUAAGCUUUAAUUGUGUUGCCAUCAAUCACCAAAAAGGGGGAGAUUGAAAGCUCUCCUGUGGGUUUUGGUGGUUUGGAUGACAACCCAAUUAAAGGACUGACAUCUGUGUUAAGUGUUGGACAGGUGGUUAACCUUGUAAAGUUCAACACAAGUGUUCAAGAGUGAUGGUCCAAAGGCUAAGUUGAUUAUGGUUUUGGACAUCAUGAGUGAAGAAGAAUAUGUCUUAAGUGAGUCUCGGUGUUCAUAUCUUGGAGACAGCUGAUCAAACCAAGGAUGGAAGUAAGAAGAGCUUCGAGGUAUCAAGUGCACGAGAGAAGGUCAAGGAGGCCGAGGAACCCAAAGCCAGGGGUAAAGAAGAAGACUUACAAAGUCAAGGUUGAUCGAGUUGAGAAGAUCUAUGGUGCAUAGAAUAUGUUGCAAAACAGUGAAGAAGGUAAAGUAUACAGGUUUGAGUGUUCAAAUAUGUUGCAUACACCUUCUACUACGCAUAUGGAACUUUGGUUUUGCUCUCUAACCAUGUUUAUAGAGAAAGUGUCAUCUAGAGCUCUGUUUGAGGUGAAACAGAAAAGCUAGGAGAAGUUUUGAAAAGAGGUAAUCUUUUGGGACUUAGUUAAUUGAUUUAUACUCUAAUUGUGUUUUUCUAAGUCACAAGAAGGCCCUCCCAAGAGUUGAAAUCAAAUGGAGAAGAAAAGGAGAAAAGCACAUAAGAGUCUUGCUGUCUGGGUAGCACCGAACAAUCAGGUGCACCUCACCGGAUAGUCUGGUGCCCUGGGCGGCCAACUGUUUAACCUCGGGUGUCUCGGCUAAAAAUGUCGGAUAGUCCGGUGGUCUUCAGGCAAUGAAUACUUGGCCACAUCAGCAAGCACCAACAGGCAAAUUAGAGCACCGGACAGUCCGGUGCCCCACAGAAGAGGAAGGUGGCCAAUUAAGGAUUCAGUGACUGUUGGGCAAAGGCACACCGGACAGUCCGGUGCCCCCGCAACCAGGGCAACUUUUCAACAGUUUCUAUUUGGAAGGUGCAACAACUAGGUGCUAUCUUGGGGCUAUAAAAGGGACCCCUAGGCGCCCAUUUGGAGGACACAAGUGCAACAAACAAGUCCAUACAUCAAGUGAUCAUAUUCUUUCUCUCCCUCUCUUGUGAAUCUCUCUAGUUUGUGUAGAGGCGCAGUUAUAAGCCUUUAGAGAGAGAGGAAGUGCUGCUGAUAGCAAGAGCAUGAUCUUGAGAAAGUUGUUACUCUGCCAAAGUGUUGUCGAGAAGAUUGUAAGCACUCGCGGCGUCAUUGUAACCACCAAGUGACAUAGUGGAAGGCUCUAUAUGUCGCAUUGACAGACCUGAGCAAACGGAGGAAGGAGUUGAAAUAGACUCCAAGCCAAGGUGUGGCUAACUCCAACAUGUACUAGGCAAGCAUUUCAGGCUUGGCCAAACCUUAGGAUAAAUCCCCGUGUCUAUGUGCUCUACUCUGUGUUGUGUGUUGUCUCUUUGUCUUUAUUGCUUUUAUACUUGCACUUCAAUCUUAUCUGUGGUAUAAGUUGUCUGUGAAGUGUAGAGUAUUUUGAGACAGGAACUUCAAUUCCGCUGCGACCUACUCGAAGUGUCUUUCAUUCCACUAUGAUCUAGUCUUCGAGUAGAGUAAGAAUCUGUAGUUUUAAAGUGAUAGUUUUUAUUCGCCUAUUCACCCCCCUCUAGGCGACAUCCAAAUCCUAUUCCCGGACAAAGGGAACUUUCAUAAUCCUCAGAGAAAAAUGGUUGUGAAAUUUUUGUUCUAGGUCUCCCUAGGAGUAAAUAAAGUUAGGUGGUAAGGUGGCGUACCAUGCGAAGGCAAUGCCGAUUAGGGAUAACGAAAAUAGACGUACGCAGAAUGCCUCCUUAUCAGCCAAUUUCCCUAAUUGGACUAAAAAUUGGUCUAUGUGCUCAUGCGUGCUUCUCCCUUGGUCACCCAAAAUUUUUGUAAAUUCGGGUAUUCUCGUCCCCUGUGGGUAUGGGUCGUAGUCGAAUCGGUUGUCAUAUGGUCUCCGAUAGGAUUGCCCCACAUGGGACACGUUAACUCCAAGUUUGUCUUGGAAUGUCCCCGCUAUCUCCUCCCUAACUAUAUCAAUGGCGGCCGGUGGAAAUCCACCGACCCUUUGGUCCAUAUGUGUGUGUGCUGGUGUAUCAUUAUGUUGCUCCCUUGCCCAUGGGUUUGGUUUAUGUGGGGUAUUAAUGUUGGCUCUAGGUACUCCAUACUAUACGUUAGGUCUCUCCGGCCUUCUAGGGCCCGAAAAGGGCUUGUACCUAUGUGUUGGUGGGAUCAUUCCACGUCCUUGAAGGGUCGUGGGUGCUAGAGAGACGUUAGUUUGGGGCUGGUAGUAGGAUUGCUGGUAAUAUUUUAUAUUUUACUCCUCAUACCCUAUCGCGAACGGUCCAGUGUAAUACCUGGAUGGUUUGGUGAUGUGCUCGGACGGUCCGCGUGUAUAGCCAGACGGUCCAAGCAUCUCUAUUGUCCCUAGCGUGGACUUCAGUUUACCAUCACGGGGGACAGAGCCAGCCGUCGCUGGGCUGGACGGUCUAGCCUCAGGCCUGGACUGUUCGACUAUGCGCAGGGGCACGAGUUCGACCGUGCGCAGGGGCACAGGUUAUUCCCAUAUAGGCGGUGGAGGAUGUGGCUAGUCAUUAUAGGAGUUCAGCAACAUCCCAUAAAGGGACUGGGAUUAGGCAUGCCUUUGCUGUCGAUGAAUCUUGUGGGUGUUCUUUGGUUUCGACCUCGUGCGAUGGAAAUUAGUAAUGGCUAAUUUAUCAAACGCAUGCGCUAGCCUCCUAUAAUCUUCUUGCAUACCACCUAAGAUUUGUUGCAUCUAUUCAUGUGGUUCUUCUAUGUAAGAUCAAAGAGCUUGCAUGUCGUCGAGCACAGCGGGUCGAAGAUUUGUCAGGUUGUAUUCCCUCCGUCGGACGAGAUUCUGGUUUCGAUCGACCUUGAAAUCAACCAAAAGUAGCUCGUCAACUUCUGCCUGCAUCUUUUUCUUGGCGUCUUCCAGCCUCUGAUAUUCUUCAACUGGCAGCCAAUCCGUAGUCGGUUUGAUGAUAUUUCUUGGGGAGAGAUUGGAGUUAUCCCUUGGAUCGACCAUAUGGGGCCGAUCUUAUAGAUCCAACCUUAGUCUCCCCAGUGAAGUUGCCAAAAAGUGUGUUGGCGUGAAUCUAGGUGCCAAUCACUAGGAGUUGUUCCGCUUGUCGGGCUCUCUGCGACGACGCGGACGGUCUGUGGCCUAGGGCCGGAGGAUCCGCGACCUGGCAGCAGGAGUGGAUUCCUCUACAUCGAGUCGAACGAUCCGCGCCCGGUGGUCGGAUGGUCAGUGGGUGUGCAGGGGCGACGACGUUCGCCUAGGGUUUGUCUUAGAAUCGACAGGCCACCUAAGACGCCUCUAGGCGAUGUAGAGUCGGAGAGAGUUGAAGAUUGAGGUAAAGAAAGCUACGUUAUUGGCUACUCCUAAGACAAAAAGUAAAGAAACAGAAGAUAUAUAUUGAUUUGGUUCGAUUGUUGGUGCGUGCAAUCGGUCGUAUCCUUCAUAGGGCGGCGACUCCGCCACCACCACCACACCCGCUGCUUCCUCCUUCCUCCAGCCUCGCCGCCGCCAAAGUAGACCGCCGGAAGACCGUGCAGAUGCGAGGAUGGCGGCGGCGGGGCCAUGGCCGCGGGACCUCGCCCCCGUGUCCCCUACUUGGCUUGGCCGCCGCGCUUGGAGCCAGAUCCGCGACGGAGAUGUGUGGAUCCGGUGGGCUCGAGGUCAUACCUGGCCAUCCCUCGGCUCAUGGUUGCGGGGUUGGGCGCUCCGGUGGCACACGUGCUCCGUGGGCUGUGGGCCACGCCAGAGUGGGAGACUGGGAGCUGCCUCUAUUCGGGGGGGGGGGCGUGGUGCGGCAUGGAGAAGGCCGCUGCCGGUGGCCCAGGUUGGGGCGGUUGGUGGCCGCAACAGGUUGGCCUUGGGGCGGCAGUCAGAUCCGGAGGUCCAGUGGCUGGAUUUGCCGUCCCUGAGGCCGAUGUCGGUUGUGGAGCGUCGGCGGGCGAGCUCCCCAUGGUGGUGCGGCGGUGAGGAGCGUAGGUGAGGCGAGCUGUGGCCUCCUCGUGCGUACGACGAGGCCUAGUUUGGGGCUGCGGGCGUCGGAUCUGGCUCCCCGGUGGUGGUGUGUGGCAACAACAAGUGGACAGCAGUGGCCCCAGCGGCGGCUGCGGUGUUGUGCGUUAGGGCGGCGGCGGAGGUAGCUUGCUUUUGUCCCGGGGCCCUCGCUUGGCAUUGUGCUGGGGUUUUCUUGGGCGAAAGCCUUGGCGACGGCGACGCCCCUGGGCGCCGCUUCCCCUGUUGAAGGCGUCGUGCUUCCCAGCACUGUCUUCCAUGGGCGAAAGCCCCGUCCAUUUUAGACCGGCGACGGUGGCGUUCCAGGCGUCACUCCCUUCCUGAAGGCGUCACUACUGAUGGCGGGGGCAGGGCAUAGGAUCAAGGUUUUAGAAGUCUCGCUGGUGAAGAAUCGGAGCUGUCUCGAGUGGGGUGUCUCGUGGUUUGGCAACGACGGCGCGCCACAUUCUUCCUGCUCGUCACUUGUGUUGAGCUCGGCAACGGAGACUCAGGAAUCAGAAUGUGCAUUGUGUGUAGGGUUGCUGUUGUCUGUACGCCCUGUGUAGGUUUUGGACCCAGUUUUACUUAAAACUAGAUCAAUUCCUUUCUUCUUAAUUGAGAUUACGUUCAAAAAAAAAUAUACCGGAACCAAUGUUCAUAUUCUGCUUCAUUCUGGAACCAAUGCAACAACCAAACACAAAAUGGAGCCGAAUGGAACGGCGCUCCGCCCAAUCGGACUCUGAAACCAAACCCUACCUAACAAACCUGGCAGCGAUGCUAUUUUUUCUUCAAAACCGAUUGCCGAUUUGAAGACAAACAGCGGUGAUGUAGCUAGCAGUAUAUCAACCACAUUAAACCAAAAAAUCGUCAAGCUGACAAGGCUCAAGCAACAUAUCAACCACAUGAAACCAAAAAAUGUUCAUCGAAGCUUGCGCCAGAUCAAUACAUGAGCGAACUGUAUGGGUACCUAAAAUUCAAGGUGGUUAAAUUCUCUUCAAAGCAGCUUGCGCACAUGUACAUCGCGUAGACCAAUCGCAGGACACCACAGCCAUUUGCAUGGUGUUCUUUAGAUGUUUGCCGAAGCUUCAUGCGCUUCAGCAAAAAAAAGGCCUCCAUAUUUACAUGGUGUUUUCUUAGACGUUUACCUAACAAGUUGAACUUGGCACACAUGUGGAUGUACAUAAUAACGGCCUGGGCCUGCUAUAUCGCGUUCUUUUUCUUUGACCGCAACAUGGAAUGUUGGCCUCUGUAUUGAGCUGGAAGAAAACAAACAACAAGACGAAAGGGAUCAGUCUACUCGAAGGAUUAGUCAAAGUAAAACAGAAAAAAGGAAAAUAGUCUUUAGCAUUGCAGCUGUGCGAGCCCGCAGGAGCUCACCAGCAUCCUUGUAGCGUUCUUCUACUGCGACGAUGAGCAUGUUCCGGACCAGAUCGAACUCUUGGGCCUCACUGCAAUGCUGGUCGUCAGGCCUGCAACAUCGGAACGGUUGCAGCUGUAGAGUUCAAGAGAGAAGACUCUUGUCCCUGCAGAAAUACUACAUGGAACGGGGAUUUGUAUGUCGACCUGUCAAGCCAUGUGAUCUGAAUGUCGUCGGAGCCUACAUGAUACACAUACAUGUAAAGCACCAAAUUGGAACAAGUACCGUAUCCAAUUAUGAACAAUAGAACAGCUUAUACAAUACGUCCGCAUACAUUAUAUAUAAUCCAUUGUUCAGAAAAUAAAUGUGGGUUCAUUCAGAAACGAAUGUGUGCGCACAUGCCAGAGAGAAACAGAAAUGUCUCACCUGGCCAUCCUUGUCUUCCUUAGAAUAUGAUGCACUGAUCUGAAGCAGUUUGGGGUUGCCGCUUAUAUAUAAUUCCUCGAGAGCAGUAAGGCAUUGUAUGGAGCGGGGCAAAGAUGUAAGGCCACGGCAGCUCUGGAUCAAGAGUUUUUUAAGCGCAGAGAGUUCGCCUAGCCACUCCGGAAGAUGGGUCAGCGCGUUACAUUCACACAAGUUGAGAAUUCGAAGCGAGGUGAGGUGCUGCAUGCUCUCGGGAAGGCAAGUCAGGAAAGGCAUAGAAAUUAUUUGGAGGUGCUGGAGUGAGCAGAGUUCUCCUAUUUGUUCAGGAAGCUGCUGGAGAGCAUCACAUGAGUCUAUGUCCAGACUCUGUAGAGAUUUCAGUUCCACAAGCCAGUCAGGCAGCACACGAAGAUUAU